AAUAUUAUACAAUCCAAAAUAAUAAAUAAAAUAAUAAGUAAUAAAUAAAAGAUAAAUAUUAUACAAAAUAAUUUUGUUAAUUAGAUAAAAUACACGAUAAAUAAAAAUAAAUUUCAAAAUAAAAUACAAGAUAAUCUUAAUUAAAUAUCUAAUUAAUAUACAUGCACAUAACACCUUUCAUUUUUAAUGAAAUCAAAGUCUCAUUCAACAAUGUUUAAUAAUAAGGUGAUAUGCAUUUAAGUUAAACACAAGCAACAUGCCACAUGUAUAGAGAACAAUGCUAUUUUAGAAAUAAAGACAAUCAAACUUGAACUUCAUGAUUUAAGACCAUAAUGAACUAAUCCUAAAGCAGAAAGAUUCAAGGCAAAGAUUGUUUGCAAAAUAAACCUAAUCACAUCAAUUGCUCACAAAUAAGACAUUAUAAAUGUUUUAACUCGAAACCCCAAAGAUACGAAAGUAGAAAGCCUUUAAGAACCUAAAGAGAAAUUAAAACCAAAGCAACAAAAACUUAACAAGAAAAGACUAUAAUGGUAGGCCAAAGAUAAGAGGUAGUUUUGCCUCUCAACAUAAAUAUACAACAAUUAUAUACCAAAGUUAAAAAACAACAACCACCAACCACAUCAUAAGUCAGGGUGCUUCCAAUAAUAACAGUGUUACUUAAGAAAACAAAGUACAUAUUAUAAUCAGAAACAUAAAAUUUUAGCAACUUUAAUCAAACUCUUCAUGAUCUAAAAUGUACUAGAACAGGUACAGUUAUCAUCGAAAGUUACCAUACAAUACAACAAAAAUUCUAUGCAAGAUCAUAGAUUUUCAAAGAAUCCAAUAAGAAAGAGGCAAUCUUCCAUCUCAGUGCUUAACUAGAUUUAAGUUUAUGAAAUUAAUCUUAAGAAAGUAAUCCAUCAUGCAACAAAAUAAAGUGAAAUCAGCAAAACAAGAAGAAUAAAAAAACAACACAAGAAGAAAAAGGUAUUCUUCAUUGUAAGCACUCAUCUUCAGUGCUAGGUUGGAUUAAGUUUCUGAAAUUAAACCUAAUAUUACAAUUUGUCAUGCAACAGAGUUGAACUAACAAAAUAAAAAAAUAAAAAAUAAAAAACUCAACCAUACAAAUUUGGAGUACACUACUAUACAAUCUCUAAUUCCUCUCUCUAGCAAAUCGUGCUUGGAGUACACGAUCAACUAAUUUCUGUAUAGAUGACUAAAAGCAACCACAAUUAAGAAAAGUUUACAAAACUACAAUCUGUACACAAAAGAUAAAACUAAAAUUUAAAUGGAAUGUUAAAGCAUAAGAGAUCAAAUAUUAAUUGAAGUUUAGAUCAAACUCCAGCAAGUUAAAAGCACUACAACAAAAAAUUAGACAUUAACCAGAAGCUAUGGGAAUGAAAUCUAGAAGCCAACUUGUAGAAUAAAACCAACAAGCAUACAAACAUAGAAAAUUUGAAACUUUAAUUCCUUCUAUCCUGCAAGGUAUGCUUGGAGCACAUAGCCAAUUAAGCUUCAAAGAGACAAAAAGAUGACAACUAGGCACACUCAUGAAUGAAGAAACCACAACCCAAGAAUUUCUUUUGCAAUAACAUUCUCCUAAUGCAUUCUCAAACAACUUCAUCAAAUUAAAUGCAACCACAAUGAAAAGUUUGACAGCAUCAUCAAUAACUAAAAAAGCCAAGACAGUGAAACCUAAGAACCCCAUUUGUCAUGCCACAGAGAAAAACAAGAAAACUCCCAUACACAAAAAGUCACAAAUUUUUUAUCCUUAAAUCCUACACACAGCCAUACAAAUUUAGAAUCCAUAAUUCUCCUGCAAGUCAUUCUUGGACCACACAGCGCAUUAAGUUUCAUACAGACUAUCAGAUCACAACCACACUAAAAGAAGAACAACCGAAGGGAUUUUUCAAAGUAAAGUUACAAAGCCCUAAUUUAUGUAAAAUUUUAAAAAUGACACAAGAAGAAUCCAGAGACAAUCUCAAUGAGAAAGACACCAACUGAGAGGCUAUGACAACUGUGGGAAAACAUUUAGUUACAAGUGAUUGUAUCUUUUAAUCUGCUGAUUGUAAUCUGUAUAUAUCUGUAUCCCUAAAAUUGAAAAUUUGUAUCUCUAGAAUUAAAGACAAAAUAUCAGGAUAGACAAUUCCUUGAUUAUAGGGAUUAGAUUUAAGAAUAUUUAGUUUCCUAAUUUACUCUCUAGCUAGCUGUAUUUAAAUCUAUGGUGUUUGUAUGAUUAAACACAAGUUUUCAAUAUACUCUCAUUUUUCCACAUGGUAUCAGAGCUUUAGACUCUUCUUGGGAAGAAAAUUUCUCAGCCUUCAUUGCUGAAUAUUUUUAGGCCUUCAUAGCCAAAUUUUGUUAAGUCUGUCAUACUUUUAUUUUGUUCAUUUUUGGCCUUCAUUGCCUAUACUUGUUUCAGUCCUGAGAAAGGUAAUUAUGUCAGAAAUAGCAAAAUCUACCGCUAUUACUCGAUUUGGAGAAGUAACAACUGGUCAAACCACAACGAAAUUACAGAAUAUCCAAGCUGUAUACAAGUUGAAUGGAAAGAACUACUUGAAGUGAUCUCAGUUGGUUCAAACCUUUCUAAAAAGGAAAGGAAAAUUGAGCCAUCUUCUUGGCACUGGUCCUGAGAAAAGAGAUCCAAAAUUUGAGGCUUGGGAUGAAGAGGAUUCUAUGGUUAUGUCAUGGCUGUGGAAUUCUAUGACGCCAGAUAUUAGUGACACUUAUAUGUUUUUGUCCACGACCAAAGACAUUUGGGAAUCAAUUCGUCAAACCUAUUCCAAAGUUAAAGAUGCUGUUCAAGUCUAUGAGGUCAAGAUCAAGACUGCAGCUCUCAAAUAAGGGAAUAAGUCAGUCACAGAGUAUGCUAUUCUUCUUAAAAAUCUUUGGUAAGAGAUGGAUCACUACCGAUGCAUAGAAAUGAAGUGUAGUGAAGAUGCAACAACUUUGAAGAAAUUUAUUGAAAAAGAUCAAGUCUAUGAUUUUCUUACUGGACUGAAUGUUGAGUUUGAUCAAGUUAGAGUCUAAAUUCUGGGAAAACAGGAUUUGCCUUUUUUAAAUGAAGUAAUAUCCAUGGUUAGAGCAGAAGAGAGCAGAAAAGGAGUGAUGCUUGAUAGUGUGCAUGUAGAAGGAUCUGCUAUGGUCUCUAAUGGUGGGAAGAACCAAAGCUUAGAACAAUUACCAAUCAGUGAGAAUGGGAAAGGUGAUUCGACUAAAACUUCAAAUCGCGACAAUCUUUGGUGCACCUAUUGCAAAAAGCCAAGGCACACCAGAGAUCGUUGCUGGAAACUACAUGGAAAACCUUCAACUUCAAGCAAAAAAUGAGGUUAUAAAGGAGGACAGCAAGAAAUCAAGGACAAGCUCACAUGACUGCAAUGGAGUUAAACCAGGAGAAGUCUCAGGAACAAGAAGAGUUGGAUAAAAAAGAGAUUGAAAAACUAAGAAGCCUAUUGGGAACUCUUGAAAAGGCUACUGGUGUAUGCUCCUUGACACACUCAGGUAAGGACUCUGGUGCAGGUAAAAUCUCUAAUUCUCAUGGAUUAAAUGUCUCAGAUAAGUCCAUUAAGAGUUCUUGAGUCAUUGACUCAGGAGCCACAAACCACAUGACACAUUUUUCACAAAAGUUUAGUACAUAUACCCUAUGUCCUGGUACUAAAAAAAUUACUGUUGCAGAUGGUUCACUUACUACAGUGACAGGAUUAGGAGAUGUUCAAAUUAAUCCCUCAUUCAUUCUUAAAAAUGUUUUUCAUGUUCCUAUAUUGUCUACUAAUAUGAUAUCUAUAUAAAGACUUACUAGAGACAUGAACUGCAAUGUGACUUUUUAUCCCUCUUACUGUGAAUUUCAGGAUCAGGAUUCGGGGAAGAGGAUUGGACUUGCUAAAGAGAAAGAUGGACUAUACUAUCUUGAGACAUCCAACAACAUAAGUAAUAUCAAGAAUAGUUUACCUUUGUCAUUUUUUUCUGAACAAUCUUCUAAUAAAGAUAAAAUCUGACUUUAUCAUUUUCGUUUUGGACACCCUUUUUUUGGAACUUUGAAAAACAUGUUUCCUUCCUUGUUCAAAGGAUUAAACGUUGAAGAGUUUCAUUGUGAUGUUUGUGAACUUGCAAAACACAGACGUGUAUCUUUUUCUAUUAGCAACAAAAAAGUUCUACUCCAUUUUACUUGAUUCAUAGUGACAUCUAGGGUCCCUUUACAGUUCCUAAUAUUUUUGGGGUAAAACGAUUUAUGUCAUUCAUAGAUGAUUGUACCAAAGUUUCUUGAGUUUUUUUACUUAAAUUCAAAUCAGAUGUGAAUAGUAUAUUUUUUAGCUUCCAAAACAUGAUCUAAAAUCAAUUUGAAGUGAGAAUCAAGAGAUUUAGGUAUGAUAAUCAAGAGACUAUUUCAAUCAGAGUCUAUCCACCUAUUUCCAAAAUGAAGGGAUUAUCUAUGAGUCAUCUUGUGUUAAUAAUCUACAGCAAAAUGAAAUGACAUAGAGAAAAAACAGCCACUUAUUAGCCACAACCCGAGCCUUCCUUUUUCAAGCAAAUGUGCCCAAAUCUUACUGGGGGAAAGCUGUUCUCACAGCUACACAUUAUAAAUAGGUUACUUUCAAGGGUUUUGAGAUUUAAAACUCCUAUGAAACUACUCUCACAAUUCUAUCCCAACCUUAAUACCACAAACAACCUCACACCUAGGAUAUUCAAUUGUACAUCAUUUGUUCAUGUUCACAGUCAUAAUAAGAGAAAGUUGGAUCUGAGAGCAAUUAGGUGUAUCUUUAUGGGGUAUUCAUCAACUCAGAAAAGGUAUAAAUGCUAUCAUCUUCCUACCAAAAAGUUCUAUAUGUCUGCAGAUGUCACUUUUGAAUAAAGUAAACCAUUUUUUACUCAACCUUAUCUUCAAGGGGAGACAUCAUUUAUAGAAGAUAAGGAUAAAGACUUCUUUUUGCUUGACUUGUCAUCCUCCUCCAAAACAGUUUCACCCAUUAAUUCUUUUGAGCCUAAACUCAUUUCUUCAGAAUCCAAGUCAAACAUUGAUUCUAAAUUUGAACCCAUUCUAAACACAAAAGUUGUGACUAAAGAUAAUACUAUUCUUGAUUCUGUGAAAGAACUACAGGUGUACUCAAAAAAAAAAAUUUCAGCUCCUGAACCGAUGCAAAUCCAAGAACCUGAUCCUAACUCUGAAAAUGAGGUAAUUACAGUCUCUGAUUCUAUUUCUUAAAAUGAGCAUGACUCUUCUAAAAUUAGUGAUUAUGAUCUACCUAUUACCAUUAGAAAAGGAACUAGAGAAUGUACUAAACAUCUAUUAUACCCAAUCUCUAAUUUUGUGUCAUUUGAAAAGUUUUCACCAUCCCAUAAAAAUUUUCUUGUGAGCCUAGACACUAUUUCUAUUCCAACUACAUUAUCUGAAGCAUUAUCCAAUGAGAAAUGGAGGCAGGCGAUGAAAACAGAAAUUGAGGCCUUAGAGAAAAAUAAGACAUGAGAAUUGGUAAAGUUGCCUGCAGAAAAACAUCCAGUUGGGUGUAAAUGAAUUUUCACUGUAAAGUAUAAGGCAGAUGGUACUAUUGAAAGAUACAAGGCUAGGCUGGUGGCUAAGGACUACACUCAAACUUAUGGAGUGGAUUAUCAGGAAACUUUUGCUCCAGUUGCCAAGAUGAAUACAGUUAAGAUUUUAUUAUCCUUGACGACAAAUUACAAUUGACAGCUUCAACAAUUUGAUGUAAAGAAUGCCUUUUUACAUGGUGAUUUGGAAGAAGAAAUAUAUAUGAAAGUUCCAUCGGGAUUUGGGAGUCAUCUAGAAGCACAAAAAGUAUGCAAGCUGAAAAAGGCUUUAUAUGGCCUUAAACAAUCUCCUAGGGCCUGGUUCGAGAGAUUUGCCAAAGUGAUGCUAGGAAUGAAAUAUAAACAGAGUCAAGGGGAUCACACACUGUUUAUCAAGCACUUAGAUUCGGGUAAGGGCACAAUUCUAUUAGUAUAUGUUGAUGAUAUAAUUGUAACUGGAGAUGAUGAAAAAGAAAGUCUCUAAAACAGUGUUUGAUCAGAGAAUUCGAGAUAAAAGAGCUAGGGAGAUUGAAGUACUUCCUAGGAAUUGAAGUAACCCACUCACGUCAUGAUAUUUUUAUCUCACAACAGAAAUAUGUGAUGGAUCUUUUGAAAGAAACUGGGAAGCUCGCAUGUAAACCUGCAAGUACCCCUAUAGAUCUUAAUCAUAAGCUUGGAGAAGCUAAUGAAGAUACUGCUGUAGAUAGGGAGAUGUACCAGAGAUUAGUUGAAAGACUUAUUUAUCUCUCACAUACUAGACCUGAUAUAACAUAUGCUGUGAGUGUGAUAAGUCAAUUUAUGCAUAAUCCUAAAAAAGUACACCUACAGGCUGUCUACCGUGUACUACACUAUUUGAAGGUUAAUCCUGGGAGAGGUAUCUUGUUUAAAAGAAAUUCAGGGUUGAUACUAGAGGCAUAUACAGAUGUUGAUUAUGCAGGUUCAAUAACUGAUAGAAGAUCUACCUCAGGCUACAACAUUUUUCUAGGUGAUAAUCUUGUAACUUGGAGGAGUAAAAAACAAAAUAUGGUGACAAGAUCAAGUGCUGAAGCAAAGUUUAGGGCAAUGGCUCAAGGAAUUUGUGUUAAAGAUUAUUCUAGAAGACUUGAAGAUCAAAUGGGAUGGACCAAUGAGACUUUACUGUGAUAAUAAAUCUGCAAUAAACAUUGCACACAAUCCUGUGCAACAUGACAGAACAAAACACAUUGAAGUAGACCGACACCUCAUAAAGGAAAAGCUAGACAGUUGAUUGAUUUGCACCCCAUAUGUAUCAACCAAGGGUCAACUUGCAGAUGUGUUGACUAAAGGUCGCAACAGUGCGACAUUUCAAGAAAUUAUUUCCAAGCUGAAAAUGAAAAACACCUAUUCACCAGCUUGAGAGGGAGUGUGGGAAAACAUUUAGUUACAAGUUGUAUCUUGUAAUCUGCUUAUUGUAAUCUGUAUAUAUCUGUAUCCCUAAAAUUGAGAAUUUAUAUCUCUAGAAUUAAGGACAAUAUCAGAAUAGAUAAUUCCUUGAUUAUAGGGAUUAGAUUUAAGAAUAUUUAGUUUCCUAGUUUACUCUCUAGCUAGUUGUAUUUAAAUCUAUGGUGUUUGUAUGAUUAAACACACAAAUUUUCAAUAUACUUAUUUUUUCACAACAUAUAUUUAGAGUUUCAAAAAAUCCAGCAAAAGGAAAUAAUCUUCCUUUUAAACAUUCAACCAUAAUGCAUGUCAAAAUUAAAUAGCAAAAAUUGAACCUAGCAAACCACUGUCCUGUAACAAACAGAGUGAAACCAACAAAUUAAAAACCUCCCUAAACACAUACAUACACACACGAGGCACAUAAAUUGAAUUCACUGCUUGAAGCACACAAAGAGAAAAACAACAGAAAAACUCCCACACACAACCACAUAAAUUUUUAAUCCUUAAAUGCUUACACACAACCAUAAAAAUUUAGAAUCCUUAAUUAGCCCUACACUACAAAACAAGAAGGAAACUCCCAUACACAUAUUUAGAGUUUCAAAGAAUCCAACAAAAGGAAAUAAUCUUCCUUUUAAACAUUUGAUCACAAUGCAUGUCAAAAUUAAGUUUCACAAAUUGAACCCAACAAAUCAACAUGUUCUGUAACAAACAAAGUGAAAUCAACAAAACAAAAAACUCUCAAAAUACACCUACACACACAUCAGGCACAGAAAUUGAAUUGAGCUAAUCAUGCAAGCCAUUAGCUUAGAGCACACAAAGAGAAAAACAAGGAAACUCCUACACAGCCACACAAAUUUUUAAUCCUUAAAUCCUACACACAUACAACUUUAGAAUCCUUAAUUCCCCCUACACUACUAGUCGUUCUUGGAGCACACAGCACAUAAGUUUCAUAAAGAGCAAUGAAUUACAACCACACUAAAGGAAGAACCCAGUGAAUUUUUCAAAGUAAAGUUACAAAGCCCUAAUUUAUGUAAAAAUUUAAAAAUGAAACAAGAAGAAUCAAAACACAAUCUCAAUGAGAAUGACACCAACUGAGAGACUAUGACAACAUAUGCAGCUUCAAAGAAUCCAGCAAAAGAAAUAAUCUCACUUUUUAAGCAUUCAACCACAAUGCAUGUCAAAAUUAAGUUGUAGAAAUGAAACAUAACAAACCAAUCUGUCCUGUAACAAACAGAGUGAAACCAACAAAACAAAAAAAAAAGAGUAAAAAUUUAAAAAUCCAGAAAAAAGAAAUAAUCUUCCUUUUAAGCAUUCAACCACAAUGCAUGUCAAAAUUAAGUUUCAAAAAUGAAACCUAACAAACCAAUCUGUCCUGUAACAAAUAGAAUGAAAGCAACAAAACAAAAAACUCCCAAAAUACACCCCUAAACACACAAGAGGCACAAAAAUUAAAUUCACUUUAUCAUGCAAGCCAUUUGCUUAAAGCACAUAAAGAGAAAAACAAGAAGGAAACUUCCAUAUGCACAGCCUCACAAAUUUUUAAUCCUUAAAUCCUACACACAACCAUACAAAUUUAGAAUCCUUAAGUCCCCCUAUACUGCAAGUCAUUUUUGGAGCACACAGCGCAACAAGUUUCAUAGAGACCAACAGAUCACAACCACAAUAAAGGAAUAACAACCCAAGGAAUUUUCCAAAGUAAAGUUACAAAGCCCUAAUUUAUGUAAAAGUUUAAAAAUGAAACAAGAAGAAUCAAGACACAAUCUCAAUGAGAAAAACACCGAAAGGCUAUAACAAUAGAUACUUAGAGUUUCAAAGAAUCCAGCAAAAGGAAAUAAUCUUCCUUUUAAGCAUUCAAGCCCAAUGCAUGUCAAAACUAAGUUUUAGAAAUUUAACCUAAUAAACAGAGUGAAACCAACAUGACAAAAAACUCUCAAAAUACACCUACACACACAAGAUGCACAAAAAUUGAAUUCACCUUAUCCUGCAAGCCAUUUGCUUAGAGCACACACCCCAUACAGAUACUCUUCCUUUUAAGCAACAAUUGCUAUCCUCGUCAAAAUUAAGUUGCAGAAAUUAAAAGAAAGAAACCAUUCUGUCCUACAACAAAAAGAUUGUAACAAACAAAACAAGAAACUUACAAAAUAUACGUACACGAGGCAUAGAAAUUGAAUUCCUCCUUAUCAUGCAAGCCAUUCGCUGAAAGCAGACAACUACUAAAUAAUAUCCACACUUAAGAAGCCACAACUAAGGGGUUUUUCAAAAAGUAAAAUUCCAAAAACUAAACUAAUAUAGAUAAAUGUGUCACAAGAAGAAUCAAAACAUGACAUAACAAAACCUCAAUGAGAAAAAAAUGACAACUAUGAGUGGCCAAAGAUAAUAACUAACUCCAAUAACAAAAGAGGCAAGGAAUCUUCCUUUUAACACUUAACCUUUGUGCUUGGUGGAACUUAAUUUCAGAAAAUAAACCUAAGAAAUUAAUCCAUCAAGCAAUAAAAUUGAACCAACAAAAAAUAACUAACUCCUAACAUGCACAACACACAGCUAUCCAAAUUUGAAUCUCUAAUUCUUCCCAUCUUGCAAAAUUGCAAGCACACAAUCCAUUGAGCUCCAUAGAAACUACCAAAUAACAAUCAUACUUACGAAACCACAAUCCAAAGAUUUUUUCAAAAGCAAAAUUACAAAACUCAACUCGUACACAAAAAAUGAAAGAAUGAAACAAGAAGAAUGUGAUAUAAUAAAAUCUUAAUGAGAAAAGAUAUCUACAAAAAUGCUUAGGAAUAUUAUGCUUCCAUUUCAAAGAGCCAAAUAACAAGAGGAAGCUUCAUUCAAAGUCACAUACCAUUCUAAAAUCAGCAAGAUGUGAUAUAAUAAGUCCAUACCACUUAAGUUAAAUGCAAUUGUCAUGGAACCAAUAAUCUUAGUGGACCAAAACCGAACAUAAAAACAAAAUCUCAACAAGAAAAGACAUCUAUAGAGAUGCUUAGGGAUAUUAUUGUUUCCAUUCAACGUGUUAUAUAACAAUUACACACUAGUUGAGUUAAACACAAUUGUCAUGCCAUAGGAAAAUUUUAGUGUUUCCCCCAAGUAUAACUAUAACAAUGCCAUUUGAGAAAUAAAAAUAGAACUUGGAGGCCAUGCAACAACUACAAAAAAAGCAAGCCAAAAUUGAUCAAAACCAAUGCAGCAAAUAAACAAAAUGAAGACAAGGACAGCUAGCAAAUAAAGUAAAAGUAAAGCAAUAAGAAAUGAAUAAAGCAACAGCUAACCACAUUCAUUACCAACUCAUUUUACUGAUUGAACAACCCCAAGCUCACAAAUAAAGUAUUAUAACCUGAACCUUAACCUAAACUCAAAACCUCCAAUAUAUCCUAAAUAAAUUAACCCCAAUACAACCCUAAGAUAAUUAUCCAUUACUUUCUAAAUAGAAGGACUUAUAUUGCUAAAGACUUAACCCUAACCUUAAGACAACAUUAACUUACUUUCUCAACGAAUAAUCAUAACAUAACAUAAGAAAAACUCAAUGAGAACACACAUCUAAUGAAAGACGGAAAAAGAUGCAUAUUUAGAGUUUUAGAGAAUACAAUAUGAAAAAAGGUAAGCUUUCUUUUGAAGUGGCAUAUCAUUCAACAUAUGGUAUAGCAAAGCAGUAGCCUCGAUAAGUUCCUUUGGAACCAAAAAGAAAAAUUCAUUAAAAAAAUUACAUUUGUUCCGUGAAUAUCCCACUACUUUACAACCAAUACCAUAAAAAAACAUGAUGAAAAUAUUGGUAUUUGUACUCACCUAGAUAACCUCUCUCCAUUUUAGUAUCAUUAAUGCAAAAAUUAAUAGAUUUUUAUGAGCAAAACAUUAAAUGAUAAUUGAUCUUCCUAAAAAAGUAGUUUCUCAAUGAUAAUUACAAAAAUCCUAUACCAUCAAAAAAAUCCAAGAUACUAACAUCUAUUGAUUGGCAAAUGCUAAAAGAGAUUUUAAUCAAACAAGAAUAUUUACAAUUAAGGCUUAGGGCAAAUACUAAAGGCCAUCGUCUGCUUUAUUCUUCAAGGUAAGACAUAAUUAAGGUUUUUUUGAUUAAGUUGCAACAUCAAAUCUCUAUCUUAUAAUUGAAAAUUAACUACAGAGGCUCUUCUAGUGCACUGGUUUGGAACAUGAAUGGGCCAAGAUUUAAAAAUUUUAAGAGCUUAUUUUUUUAAUUUCCAGGAGGUGAGAUUGGACUUGGAUCAUGAAAAGCAACUAAUGAAUACUUUAACAUAACUUUUGCAUUUUUUUUUAUCCUUUCUCCAAUUUUCUUCAGCAGGUCAAUAACUUUGGCCAUGACACAUAAGUACGAACAUUUAAGAUUCUUCUGAAUCCAUCUUUAUCAGUUGUAAUCAUCUACAUCAUUGGUUUAUACCCACCAGCCAAAUUUCACGGUCGGUGGGUAAAUUAGGCCAUAGGGUAUGCUUCACCAUGCAAUUGAACUCUCAACAAGAUUCAUAUAUGAACCAUUAAUGAUAAAAUUGUCAGUAUGACUAUAGCCGAAAGAAAUCAACUCACCACCCAAAGCAGAGUCCGUGGCUUUAGAGUGGUUAUAUUGUCAAUACCAGCUCAAAUACUUGAGGGGCAUCAACUAUCUCUACAAUGGUCAUUGCACCAAGCAAGAAAAAACGAUUCAGCAGAUGCAUGUGUCAGCUCUGAAAUAGCUAAAUCAGUUGAAGGAGCCUACAAAUGUGAAUGGCCCAAGCAUUAUUACACAAGUAUUAACAGAUAAAGGAGGAAAUAAAUAAGAAAAUGAUAAAAAAAAAAAAAGUUUUCCAUACAUAAGUCAGAUGCAUCAGCAUAAGUAGACCAUAGAAUUCCAUUAAUAAAGGGAGAUAGUCAUAGUAACCAUUUGCAGAAUUCCUAGUGAUGGUAACAAGCCACACACAAACACAAACUUUGGCUCUCCCAAUUGACCAUGGGGGUAGGUACCUAGUUUUGCUAUCUUAAUUCAUUGCUAGGAUAGUUCCUUGGAAUUGGUUUAAAUUGGAGAUGCUCCUUCCUUAAAUGGGAAGUGGGCUCCAACAUAAAUUAAAAAUAAAGGAUAUUAAAUUGCAAUGAUCACUUCAUAAAAAGACAAGCCAUUGUUCACCAAAAACAUAGACCAAUAAAACUAGUAGAUCAGGAAAUAAGUUUAGAGCCCAAGCAUCCUGUAUUUCAUUAACUCUUGAAUGAAUACCGGAUCAUGAGGCCACCACCAAUGAACAUGAGAGAAACAGGUUGAAACCUGACAUAGUACUGAAUAAAGCAUCCAAUACGCAACAGAAUUUUGUGUUUUCAUCCCAAUUUAUGAGAAUGAUAAAUAUGAUGCAAACUACAAGAAGAGGGACAGCAGAAAAACACAGUCCAAUACUAAACAUCUGAGAAUCAUUCUUACCCUAAUGCUCCUUACCACCCAUAAACUCACAGCCAUCAACAAUCUAUUCCACUUUUAUUGAAGGCUAGAAAUUCUUCAAAGAUAAUGCCUACAUAUCCUAUUACAAAAAGCAAUGCCAUAGAAAUAUGCAUUAUGAAAUUAGAUCAAAUUAAGAAAGGCUUCUGUGCAUAAUACAAGAAUAUGCAAAAUAUUGGCCAAAGAUGAAAAAAUGAUUAAAACCUACAAAGAAAGGAUUGCACAAGAAAUUAAAGAUAAACCUGGAUGUUGGUAACCCAUGAUAGGUUAAUUGCCACAGUCCCUGUUAAAGCUGCUGUGAAAACACCAAUAGUUUUCAACAAAUUAGUCUUUGGCUGGUAAGUAACUUCAAAAUCUAACGAGCUAGCUUCAUCAACUGAACAUAAAGGAUCACAAGGUCCAGAGGUUGAGGUCAGCUCCUGUUGAUAUGCAAAGGGUAUUUCAGUGUGUGGCAGAACCCAAAAAUGAAGAAACACAGACACUGCUGUUUUGCUAUGAUGGUUGGUUUUUAUAGCAAUUUGGAGAAUGCUUUCUAAACAGCCUUUUGAGUAAUCUUCCCUCAUAAAGAGGAUCAUUACUCAGCCUCAAUCCUGCCAAUGAAGGAUGAGAAACCAAGAAGAGUCAUUUGAAAAAUGUUCCUAGCCUUUAGGAUUCAGCAUUUUUUACACAAUGAGGCUACUUUCAGGACUUGAACUUGCUCAUUUGAGCCCCUCAGCCAAAAUCUUUUAUAUUACACCAGACAGUGUCUCCUAAUCAACCCUCAUAUAUCUAACUAAAUCAAUCUGAUUUCUGAGCUAAACAUCUGCAGAAGGUAAUUUCUAAUAGCAAUAGCUUGAAAUUCUAUCAAAUUAUUUGACCUCCUCAUUAACCAAGAUAAAAUCUUCAAAUGUAUGAACUAGCAGUACAGGCAAAUGGGUACCUUAAACUGGAGUACUUAUAAGCAAGACAAUAGAUGACAAAAGACACAAAAUGAAACCAAAAAACUCACACCCAAAUCAUAAAUCAAUGAACAUGCAAAUGGGUACUCGUAAAGAUAAAAUUUUUCAUAAUGGCAUAGGGAUGAAAAGAACAAAAACCUCAAGCUGCUUUUCAUUGUUGGGUUGAACUUUUUGUUGCCGUGCAAUAACUUUCGUUAUGGGGUUUACCUAGACUCAUAAUUGUUGUUAUAUUAUUACAUUAUAAUAUAAAUCAAAUUAAGAAUUUUUUUAUUGAAAGAAAAAAAGAACAAUACUAAUUUUUUUACUUGAGAUACUAUAACUAAUUGAAGGUAUGGAUCCAAUCUAUAACUAAAGUUAUAAAGGGGAUACACUCAUUUUUUUUUGGUUUCUAAGUCUAUUGCAAAUCAUUGAAAAGCUUGCAGAUCCUAACAAAAAUGUUCACCUGAUGGCUCCAGCUGCUAGUUUGUGAAAAUAAGCAAGUGAAUGCAACCAAUCUUUAAAUUUUAGCUUUCCAACAUAUGAACGUGGUGUCAUUUUCCGCAAACAAUAAGAAUGGAAAACAAAUUGAUCUUCAGUAAUAUCAGCAUAGUGCUUCUCCACAGCUAUAAAUUUCUCCAGGGCUCGUCCAAGAUCACCAUGUCGAAAGUAACUUUCAUCAGAAGCAAGUUCAUACCUUCAAAAGAUGGAUAACACUCAGUAGGUGUACCCAAAUUAUAAUUAGAGACAACGACAUGUGGAAGGUAAUAAACAAAAACAGACCACAUGCACUGCAUGUCAUGAAGGUUGGUGUGCUGGCCCCAUCUUUCGUGAACAAAACAGCAGUUUUUCCUGCCAAAGCCACCUUCAAGAGUAGAAAAAGUUUGUGAACAGUACAAUAAUACCGAAAGAAAUUUAGUGACAAAUAUUAACUAUGACAAAAGAUGAAGGGGGGAGCUUUAGAACCUGAUCAGCCUGCAACAUUCGCUUCACAGAUUCACUGUUUAUAUAGCGAUCUGCAAGAUCCAUACACCUAGCUUCAUCUGUCAAUGAAGCCACAGCUACCAAAUCACCAGCAUGUUUCAGUAUCCGACUCUGUCACCAAAGAGAAGUAAAUAAUAUACACAUAGACCCAGCUUCAAGAAAAUUCCAAGAACUUCUCCAAAAGAUAGUAAAAAGGUUCAUCAAGAAACAAUAGCCAUGUACCAAAAACCCCAAAACCUAAGAAAGGAGGUUAUAUGCCUGCCCAAUGCCCAUCAAGACUUAAGGUCCACAAAGAAAAACUAGUAUGCAUUUUAAAUGAAUGCAUAUCAACUUUGCACAAUUUAGUGCAAAAUAAUAUAUUCAAUCAAGGUCAGUAUCAUAGAAAGUGAUAAGUCUCUUACAAGUGAACGAUAACUCCAGGGCAAUAUCUAGAAAGAUUUUCAGGUAAUGCUAUGCCUUGUGAGAUGCGAGACAAACCAGGCAAAAAGAAUUCAAAAUAUAAGAAAAAAAUAAAAUAAAAGAAUCCAGCUGACAAAAAUAUAAAACCCAGCAGAUGAAGCCAUUGCAAAAAUUUGAAGAUUGAAGACGAGAACAAACCUUGACAGAGUAUAUAUCAAUUACAGUUGGUGUGUGCUCUAUGGCCUCAUUAAUUUUUGAAAGAGCAACGUCAUAUUGUCCUCUUCUGUCAUAAUGCUGCAUCAAUAAAUUCAAAGUUACUCAAAUGCAAAGAAAGCACCAAAUAUUUAUAGCAAGAAAAGAAGAAAAGGCCAUGGCCCAUGGGGUGAGGAAACCUGAUGGUUACCCACCUAAGCCAAAAAGAAUAAAAUCCAUAAAAGUGUUGAAGGGGGCUCUUUCACUGUCCUGCACUCAAUAUGAAACACAAGCAAGAAAUGACUCAGCAUAAUACCAAAUGCGUGCUUGUGUAUUAGCAUACAAACAAAAACAUAGAAACUUCACAUGCAACCAUAUGGGACAACCAUUAUGUACUUGUUUAAUAGAUAACAACACAUAAAUGACUGAGGACUUCACCAAACAAUAAGCAGUAAAAGAUAAACAUGCAAUCAGACCAUACCCAAUAUCUAAACAUUUGGACACUGUUAAGACUUACUAGAAUAUCACAUAAGGGCUGAAAGUCUAUAUUACCUCAAAAAGUAGUAAAUCUAAACAUUUAUUUGCUUUUAAGACUUACUAAAAUAUUACGCAAGGGUUUAAAGCAUAUACUACCUAUCAGGGUAUCUGCCGGCGGUCCUAAUUGAAUGCUCCAACUCAAAAAUUAGUUGUUCCAAUAUGUCUGCCUGUAUAAGUGUCAACAAAGCAGGUAAUCAAUCCUAAUGAAAUCAAGCUCCAAUCAGUUGCUAAGCAGUUUAGGAGAAUCAAUAUUUAGAAACUUAAUUCUAUUUUUAGAAUAUGUAAGUAAGAAAACUUACCUUUCUAGGGUGACCGUACAAGGGAGAAAGGUCUGAAAUAAAGAUGGAACCCCCUGAGGCCACAGAAAAAAUAUAUCAUUAUUUCACCCAACAAACUAAAAAACACCAGUCAAACUAAUAAAAAAAAAAAAUCUCACUUGGAUAUAAAGGUUAGAAGAGGCUUAAUGUAAUCAAUUGCCACUUUACGAAAUUUGUUUCCUUGCAGUAAAUCAAGUGGUAUCCUCUAAAAAUUGAGAAAACAAAGUUCUAAUAUAAGUCCUAGAACAUUCAUCACAUAUCAUAAAGGAAGUAGCAUUUAUUGGCAAUAAUGAUGCACAUUGUAACAGCAAUAAUUACAAUUCUCAUGAAUGAAUACAUAACAAAUGUGGGUUACAGGAAGAAAACAAUUUAAAUACAUCCUCACUGCAUGAGUCAAAUCCCAAAAGCUCUAGAGUUUGACACUUUAUUUCAAUCAUGCCGUAACCUGGCCCACCGUCAAAAGGUUUUUAUAUAGGAAAGUCAGUUUAACUAAAAGAAUGAGAUAAAGAUAGCCACUAAUAAAAGAAUUAGCCACCAUGUCAACUCUCUAGGGGUGAAGCAUAUGAAAGCAUAAUUUUAACCACCUAGAGUUCUUACUAUUGUCACAUCAAGACAUCAAUGAAGUAUUUCAGCAUAAUACCACAACUAUCUAUUUCUAGAUUAUCUAAAAAUAUCACAAGCCAUCGAAUGGACUGUGUCUAUUGUAGAAGCACAUCACUAGAUUUUUGUCACAUAAUUUCUUAUCAAGCCAUCAAGAAAAACAAUAUCCCUACAAGAGUAUUUGUAAAAAUUGCCGCCCCUCCUCUCUCCAAAAAAGGGGAGAAAGCUUGAUAGCUCUACAAAAAAGUAAGGUUUUCGUUGGAUUUGCAUCAUGUGAUUCUAUAAAUAAGAGAGAGAAGAAAUCCAGAGUAAAUAUAAUGAACAGAACAUCCCAAGGUACCAUUUGGAGCUCAUUAAAAAAAAAUACCAAACAGAAAAUCAAAUUAAUAUGACUAACAGCUAAGACAUAAUAAAAUAGCUUACACUAGCAACAUCAUUAUCUACAGUCUAUAACGAGAACACAUUUUAUCAUCAGAAAAAAAUAAAAAAAAAAUCAAAUCGGGCAUUAUUUGAAGUAAAAAAAUUUAAAUAAAAUUAAGAUGGUAGAAAUCAACCCUUCAGAAGGUCUCCAAAUUCCUCACACAUUCCAAUUUGUCCUUCACCAACUAAUUCUCUACUUUGUUUGGAUUGACCAAUGGCCGAGAAAAAUUCUUUCACCUCAAAGGAAUUAAUUUCCCUCUUAUAAGAUCAAGAACCCUAAUUUCCCAACCUAAUCUUGAUGCCCAAUCUCAAGGAAAGUUGAAUUGACUCAUUACUUGCUUGAUGUCGAUAUUAUUGACAAUAAUCUAUAUUUCAAGCCGAACGGGAAUCCAAAACGAAAAACCUAAAUUUGAGAGAAAGAAAAUUGAAAUGAUAGAAGAAUGGCUGAAGACAGUGGGUUUUAAAUUUAAAAUGCCAAAAAAUCUAACCAUCGAAACUUAACCAAUUAAAUUUUAAAUUAAAAAUUGACUUUUUUGUAUUUAAAAUAAACGUAGUGACUAAAUGAAAAACAUAUUUGAUGAAAAUCAGCUCUGCUUCUUUUAUAUAAAUGAAAAAAAAAAAAUACACUUCAGAAGAAAAAAAAAGGAAAAUAGAAAGAAUGGAGGAGCCCCAUCAAUUUUAAAAGAAAUUUCAUUUUUCUAAAGAAAACAAAGUUGAGGAAGAAUGGAGGAUGCGGAUGUUAGCAAAAGCAAUUCUAAAUUAAAAUCUAAAUUACCCCCACACCAAACUUUAACCAAAUGCCCAGCCAAGCCAAAGCUUAAAAGUUGCAAGGAUGACUAGUGAGAAGGAAUAGUAUCGUUUCUCAAAAUUGGCCAAAAGGAUGGUGAAAGACUAAUAAAUAUCUGCAAUUACAAAAAAACCCUCACCAAUUCACCAAAAAAAAAAAAAGAGCUUAUCAUUUUAUUUGGUGGUUUAGAAAUUUAGACUUUUCUCAAAAUAAAAGGAGGACCCUCCCCUUCUCAUUAGUCCUAUUCCCAAAGACACGUGGUGGUGUUUAUGAUUGCAUGGGUCAACCAUCACUGCACCCCAUGAUAAGCUUCUAAAACAUUGUUGAUAACUAUAUUAUCAAGGAGAAAAUUAGCAAAAUCAUGAACGAAAAAGUGAAAUAAUGAAUCAAUUGAGAAGAAAACCGAGUUAAAUAUAUCAAAUCUUUUUUGAAGACAUUUUGUGUUCUUAGAUUCUCUUUAUAUUAUGACGUUUUUAUUUUAUUAUAUUUUUUUGUAAAAAAAUUUUAAAAUAAGAGAAGUUAUCUUAUUUUUAAAAAUUAAUAAAUUAUUUAUUAAUAAAAAAUCAUUAAAGAUUUGAAUCUGAUUAUCAUAAAUCUAGAUACUUUACAUCUAAAUCUUAAACUUUAAUUAUUUGCACCAAUCUCUAUUGACUUACUUGAUUAUAGUUAGUAAAAGAAAAACUCAAUAAAAAACUGAAAGAAAGAAAAGAAGGUUCAACGAUAUGUUGAUAAAAUUGUACAUGGAAACUAGCAAGGAGAAAUUAAAUUUUAAAAAACUUGUGGUGCGAGAUCCUUUGGGAUAAUUAUUAUUUCAAAUAAUAUGUAAUUUAAUUAAAUUUUAAUUUAGUCAAAUUUUUAAAAUUAUAAAUUUGAAAAUAUUUUAAAUGUUUAAUUUUUUUUUCAUACAAAUUAAAUUAAUAAAUUAAAAUUUUAAAAAUUAAUCACUUAGAUUUUUUUUUUUUCGAGGUUUUUUUAAAGAAUAUUCCAAAGCUUAAAAAUUGGGAUUUCAUGCUUUUCCAUAAUCGUUGGGUUUGAGGAGAUAAAAUUAUAAAUAUACGGAAACACUUCUUUUGGUUUCUUAUAAAAUUAUAUACCAUUAAAAAUUAUAAUUAUAAUUAUAAUCAAAUAACUUUUAAUGUAUUAAAAAAAUUAACAAAUCAAAAUAUAAUAUGACAAAAUUCAAAUUUGAUUGGUUAAAAAAAUUUUAAAAAUCUAAUAAUUAACAAUUACUCAAACAAAAAAAAUUAAGUGUUUAACAAUUUAAUCAUCCAAUUACAUAUAAUACUUAUUAUUUAAUACUUUUUCAUUAUGUUUAAUAUAUAAAAUAAUAGAUAAGACAUAAUAAUUUUAUAUUAUAUUUGAUUUAUAUCUAAUUAAUCCUCUUGAUAUAUAAUGAUUCAAUUUUUCGAAAAUAAAAAUAACUAUUUUUUAUUUACGAUAUUAAACUUAUAUGUUCUAUUAUAACUUUAAAAAUUAUAUUAAUAAUUUAAAUUAUAUAAAUUUUAAAGAAAAAUAAUUUUAUGUAGCAUCUCAACAAGAUUUGGUUAACCUUUUUCAACUAAUAAUAAAAUUUUAUAAUCCAAUCAAAAUCCACUUUUUGUUACUAAUUAUCAACCUUUCCUCUAUAAUAAAAUUCAAACAGCAAACCAUAAGAGACGAGACUUAGAACAACAAAACUGGGAAUUUUUGAUAGCCACUCUUGUCAGCUCCAUAGCAAAAUUUUCCACAUUAUGUAGUGUUUAUAAAUGGCAACUAAUAAAAGGGGCGAAGUACAACAUGCUCCAAAGGCAAAGAUUAGCUCUAAAACAGUGUUCUUCCCAUGCUGACCAGAAGAUUUCAUCAGCAGUACCCAAAAAUUUUCUAUAGCGCCUCAAAUUUUGGGGCAAAACUAUGGAGCCAGAUAUCUCUAAAGAUCUCAACCAAAUGGUAAGCAAAUUAAAAGAAUAUAUAUAUAUAUAUAUAUAUCAACCCUAAAAUCAUAAAUGUGGAUAAAUUAUACACAUUUGCAAAGGAAUGCAUUUCACGAUUAGAAAAGCAGCGAAAAUUUUGAUCUCAAAGCAACAGAAGAAAGCAUUGUCAUGGCUUGCACAACUUCAAGAUGCUCCUUUUUUCCGCCUGCUGUAAAGCACUCUUUCAAAUUGUCUACAUAAUUUUACUUCAAUUGUCUAAUAAGCUAUUAAUAAAGAGGGUCUAAACAAAGAAUAAACAAUCAUUUCUUGAAUAAUUUUGUCACAUAGCUUGCAACUUCAAUUAAAUAAACAUCAAUAAGAAAGUGAGAAAAUUAUUAUCAUGAAAGUCCACCUUUCUUUAAAAUGCCAAUAAUAAUCACAGCAUCCAACUUUCAAAGAUUAAGCAUCAUAAUAACAAAAACCAACAAGCAAUCAGAACUCGUGAGAUACAUCUCAAAAAAAUCACUGAAUGAUGUUGAAACCAUAAAUUUAAAAAUCCUAAUUUAAUGUUUUAUUUUUAGGCAUCUAAUCUAUAAUAUUCAAUUAACAGUAUAUCAAAAUUUCAAUACCAUUAAUAUUCUUACUAAAAUACUUUCUAAACAAACAACAGUAAUUAAUUUCAUUAGUUGUUAAUGGAGUCAAAGUCAAAUUUCUAGUCAGCAUCAAUUUAUGUGGAGAAUUAUACUUACUCAAAGUAGCAUCUCGGUCAAUAAGAACCUUUUCUAAGAGUUUAUGGGCUGCAAUACAGUCCUUGAGUUUCCACGCCAGUACUGGUCCAAGUGCCCCAUUCCUGGACAAGCAAAAGAGAAAGAAACAAUUAAUCUCAAGAGUAAGUUGCAAUGCAUGGAAUCGACAUCAAACAGCAAAAAUUUUAAUGUACACUAAGAGCAUUACAUUGGCAUGACUUUAUUGCAUGAAUCUUCAAUUAACUUAACAGCCUCAAGUUUCUUGGUGUGCUCCAAGGUAUAUAACAUUUCUGCAACUGCCACUAUAUGCAUCAAAGAUUCUGCAGAACCAAAAAGUGAAAAUUGCAUGAUUAUACAACCUACCUCAAGGAACCUAAAAUGCAUCAUGUUAUGCAAAGGUCAUAAUACCUUCAUGUUUACCAAGGAAAACUUUGUUCGCCUCACUAAGAGUUUUCUCCUGCAAUUGACUGCGGAAAGAGAACAUAAAGGGAUUUAAUGCAUCAGGGAUCAAAAUAAUAAUAGUAGCAGUAAUACAACAAAAUUCUAGUAGGGGGAAUAGCUAUCAUAAAGCCAUUUCAAAGAGAACCUGAUGGAUGGACGCUCAGCUUCUAAGACACUCCAAACAAGUUUUUCAGCAUCAGUUAAUGGAGCAGGCAUUGAGCCCAAUUUAUGGAAAAAUUUAAUCUGCAUUAGAUUAAAUUCAAAUAAGCAUUGUAAAGAUUACAUGAUCUUUGUAUCUAAGAACAGAAAAGAAUGCAGUUGUGCAUGGCAGUGCACAAAUAUGGUAGGGCAGAUGUUACAUACCAAGCAGCGAUGUGAAUCUGGAUUCUCAGCAUCCAGCCUUUGCAGUUGCUUUACAGCCUUCAGGAAAACAAAAUAAAACCAAGACAAACCUACUAAUAUGAGCUCAUGAAAUGGUAAAAGUACUACUGCACAAAACCAUUGUUCUACAACUCAAAGAUAUGUCGUGCACACUAUCUAAUUCACACAUAAAUUCAUUGAGUGAGUAGAGUAAUAAGAAAAAGAUGUUUGGUUAAAAGGUAUAGUUUCUUUACUUCAAGAACAUAUCCACAGGCAGCAAGUGAAAAAAGAGAGGAGAAAACAAGAGAAGGGGCUUCCUCACAAACCACUAGCUGACAAUUAAAUAUUAGUUCUGGUUGCUUCAAGAACAUAUCCACAGGCAGCAAGUGAAAAAAGAGAGGAGAAAACAAGAGAAGGGGCUUCCUCACAAACCACCAGCUGACAAUUAAAUAUCAGUUCUAGUUGACCAAACACAAAAAGAACAAGCAACACAUCUCAUGUUCAAUUCUUGGAAAAUAUAAUACCUGAAAGGCAGGUAAAAUCUUCUGCUUUCUCAUAUUUACUUCAAAAGAAAGUAAGUGCGUCUCCAAAGAAUCAGGUGAGUUCUUCUGAAGCAACUUCAAGUACUUCGUUGCUUCGGACAAGGGAUACUCUGUCUGAAAAAAAAAUACAGAUUAAACAGUCUUAGCUUAAUAGGCAUUAGCGUAACACAUUUUUACAGCACGAGGACUUUAAUCAGGAAUCUAAAGCACAGGGAAAAGAUAAUAAUAGGUAACCUUCAAUAAUUUUUCUCCAAAAGGAUCGAGAUCUACAGGUUUAACAUGUUGUUUCCCAGACUUAGACAUGCCACUAGAACUUGAUUCUUCAUUUUUCUCCUCUGCCUCCUAAAAUAAUACACAGCAUCAGAAUGAAAUCAUCAAAGAGAGUGUUAGCCAAGAAUCACCAAAACAAGCUGAUAUACUUUCUUAGCUCGUUCCGCCUUCCUCUGCUUCUUCAUUUUCUUUUUCUGAGAAGGAGUCUUUGAUGUGUCAUCCUCUUCUUCAUACAGUGAGUUCAAAGGAGAAUCAAACAACUUUAGAUAGCAUCUGCACUUCAAAAUCCAAUAAUUAUCACAAUGCAGAAAGAAAAGGUUCAAAAUUGAAGUAAUCACCAGUUUCAAGCCAAGAGUUUCAGAGAAAGAAACACCAGCGUAGAAAUGGGACAAUGGAUCAAUCACAAAAACUAUUACUUAAUUGUUGCAUGGCCUGUCACUAUAUCAUCCCAUUCCAUUUCACCAUCAAAUCAAUAAGAUCAAUAUAAAAAGCUAUAAUCAACAAAUAAAUUCUGGUACAGUAACAUGCAAUUCUCCAUCCUUAACCCAACAGAAAUCCCAGGCGCCGCCUUCCUAUCAUUUAAAAAGCCACAAUCUCAAAUUUCAAUAUGCCCGCAAGGAACAUUUAAUCCUUUCAGUAAUAACAUCACGAGAAUAUGAACUUACAAAAGAUAUAACGAAAGCAAAUUGAGACUACCAAGCAAAAUUUUUAUCCUGUUUGGCAUAUACCACAAGGUCUCGACAUAAUAAGAAUCCCCUAAGUACAACAUAAAACACCAUCCUAACUAUGAAACAAGUAUAUAACCUUAUAAAAAUCAGAAACUAUAAUCUAGAAUACUUGUUAAAUUAAAUUUGACUUGAGCAUCAUUUGAACACAAAUUUUUUAAGCAGAUCCAAAUAUUUGCAUCUUCUUUUAAUAGUUAAUAAUUUGUGGGAGAGCAUUUGAACUGUAGGGCAAGAGGAGUUAUUGCAACUAAGGUAUGUGUAAAGCCAAAAAAAAAAAAAAAAUUGCUUUAUAAUAUAACAUAAUUGGCUUAUUAAUAGCAUUUGUUUCUGUAUGGUAAGGAUAGACAUGUAUCCACAGUUGAAAAUUCGUUAAUGGUACAUUUUCCUAUAUAUUAUGUAUGUGGUCCAUCAGGUAUAUAAAACAAAGAGACGGGGCACAAGGAUUGUCUUACAUAGCAUUCUGAUACAUAAUACUAAUUUAAUCACAUACAUAUCAAUUAGAUCAACAAAUGAAUCAACAACAGCCUCUUAUUUGAACUCUAAAACUCUCUUUUGUAUUCCUAUACAAAUGAAAUUGAAAAACAGAUUGAUUAACAUUAUUUGAAAAAAUCACAAAGUUCAUAACGAACUUAAAAUCAUUGUGCAUAUCAAAAUGACUAGUAUUAUUAUUACUCAUUAUUAAAAUUCACAUUCAAAAAGAAGAGAGAAAAUUUUGUUUUAUGAUAAAAAAAUUCAUUCAUGGAUCUCAGUUAAUUUUCAAGGGGAGAAAAAAGAAAACAAGGAGUCCAUUGAAUUUCAACUAAUUAGUUUCACAAAUAAGAUACAAAGAUUUACCUCAAAUUAGGAAUUGCACAAAAAAGUUGUNNNNNNNNNNNNNNNNNNNNNNNNNNNNNNNNNNNNNNNNNNNNNNNNNNNNNNNNNNNNNNNNNNNNNNNNNNNNNNNNNNNNNNNNNNNNNNNNNNNNNNNNNNNNNNNNNNNNNNNNNNNNNNNNNNNNNNNNNNNNNNNNNNNNNNNNNNNNNNNNNNNNNNNNNNNNNNNNNNNNNNNNNNNNNNNNNNNNNNNNNNNNNNNNNNNNNNNNNNNNNNNNNNNNNNNNNNNNNNNNNNNNNNNNNNNNNNNNNNNNNNNNNNNNNNNNNNNNNNNNNNNNNNNNNNNNNNNNNNNNNNNNNNNNNNNNNNNNNNNNNNNNNNNNNNNNNNNNNNNNNNNNNNNNNNNNNNNNNNNNNNNNNNNNNNNNNNNNNNNNNNNNNNNNNNNNNNNNNNNNNNNNNNNNNNNNNNNNNNNNNNNNNNNNNNNNNNNNNNNNNNNNNNNNNNNNNNNNNNNNNNNNNNNNNNNNNNNNNNNNNNNNNNNNNNNNNNNNNNNNNNNNNNNNNNNNNNNNNNNNNNNNNNNNNNNNNNNNNNNNNNNNNNNNNNNNNNNNNNNNNNNNNNNNNNNNNNNNNNNNNNNNNNNNNNNNNNNNNNNNNNNNNNNNNNNNNNNNNNNNNNNNNNNNNNNNNNNNNNNNNNNNNNNNNNNNNNNNNNNNNNNNNNNNNNNNNNNNNNNNNNNNNNNNNNNNNNNNNNNNNNNNNNNNNNNNNNNNNNNNNNNNNNNNNNNNNNNNNNNNNNNNNNNNNNNNNNNNNNNNNNNNNNNNNNNNNNNNNNNNNNNNNNNNNNNNNNNNNNNNNNNNNNNNNNNNNNNNNNNNNNNNNNNNNNNNNNNNNNNNNNNNNNNNNNNNNNNNNNNNNNNNNNNNNNNNNNNNNNNNNNNNNNNNNNNNNNNNNNNNNNNNNNNNNNNNNNNNNNNNNNNNNNNNNNNNNNNNNNNNNNNNNNNNNNNNNNNNNNNNNNNNNNNNNNNNNNNNNNNNNNNNNNNNNNNNNNNNNNNNAAUUGUUAUAUCUAUCACUAGUUAUUUUAUGUAUAUAUAUUUGUACAUUUUUAAUGAUUUAAAAAUUAAAAAUUUUAAAUUUAAAUCAAUAAAUUCAAAUCAAAAUAUUUUGCAUUUAAACUUUCAAAUUCAAAUUAAGUUUUAAAACAUAAAUUAAAGAUUGAAUUUUGUAGAAUUUUUUUUAUUUCUUUAUUUACUUUCUUUUUCUUUUCUUUUUUAUUUUCAUUCAUUUUUUUUUUUUUACAGAAUACUUUCUUACUUUUUUUUAUUACUUUUUCACUACAUAUUUUUCUUUUUACUUUGAUUUUUUCAUUAUUUCAAUUUAAUUGUUCAUUUACAUUAUUUUUUAUUAGUUUUUUUCUUUUUGUACUUUCUUAACUUUUUAUCUUUAUUUUUUUUCAUUUUAUUUUUUCUUAAGGUUUUGCUUUUUUUUUUUUAGUUUUUUUUUGUUGGCAUUUCUUUCUAAUUUGUGUUUUUUUUUUCCACACUUUCUUCUUUUGUUUUUAUUUUUUAUUUUGUUAUUAACUUUUAUUUCUUCUUUUAAUUUUUUAUCGUUUGAUUUUUAUUAUAUUUAUUUCUUCCAACUUAUUUCUUAAUACUUUUUUUAUUUUUUGUUUGUAUUUAUAAAAACUAAAUUUUUUUUAUUUUCCUCAUUUUAAUUAGUUUUUGUAUUUUUUAAUUUUUUCUUUGACAUUUUUUCAUUUCCUUACUUUUCUAUUUUUUUUUAUUGUGUUUUUGUUUAUUUUUAAUUUUCCUCUUUUUUGGUACUUUAUUUUACCUUUUUCCUUUUUGCUUUAAUUAUUUUCUCUUAUUUUAUUUCAUUUUUUUAUACAAAAUUUUAUGGUGUUUGAAUACUUUACUUUAUUUUUAAUCUUUAUUCUUUGGUUUGUCUCAUUUUUAUUGUCAUUUUUUAUUUUUUUAUUUUUUUGCUAAUUUUUUAUUCUAUUUUUAUAAAUUUUUCAUUAAUUUUUUUAUUUUUAAAUUGUUUUUUUUCUUUUAAUUUAUUUGUUUCUUUGCUUUCAUUUUUAAUUUUUUUUUUAUAUAUUUUGUAUUUUGGAAAUUUAUUUUUUUCUUGCUUUUUCUUAUAUUUUUUGUUGUUCACAUUUUUUUUUAUUUUUUUUUUGGCAAUUUAGAAAUUUAGAUUUUUUUUUGCUGCAGCUUCUUUUCAUUUUUAUUUAUAUUUUCUAUUGGACUUUUCUUUUAUUUUUUAUCUUGAUUUUUUAGAUCUUUUUUUUUUUUAUAUUUGUUAUAUAUUUUUCUUGUUUUUGCUUUGGAUAUUCUAAACUAAGUUUUUUUUUUAUUUUAACUAUUGAAAUUUUAUUCAUUGUCUAUUAUAUUUUUUUUUAUUCAUUAAUUUAAGACCUUUUGAAGCAAAUAAAGCGUGGAAAAAUUAAAACUGUGGCAAAUGAUUUUUAUAUCACAAUAUAAAAUGUGCACUAGGGUUUUAUGCCGUAAUUGUUUAGAAACGAAAUUUUGAUAUUUUUAACCUUGCAAAAUAUUUUAGGAUUUACAAUUUAACAGUAGUGAAAAAUUAAAACAAUGCAGAUUAUCAUGUUUUUGUGUUUGAGUGAGUUUAAAAUUAUUAAUUUUCAUUUAAAAAUUGUUAAAAACAAUAUUUCAUACUUUUAAAGCUCGAUUUCAAUAGAAAUUAUUUUUAAAGCAAAACAUAAAAGCUUCAAAAACGUUGAGCUUUGAGUUUGGUGUAAUGUAUAAAAAUAAGUUAGCAAAUAGCUAAAUCUCAUCAAGUGCCAAUAAUGAUUUCAAAAAAUGACAUCCAAAUAAUCAACAGCAUCUCACAAAUUCCUUGGAGCACUUAUGAAUUCUUUUAAAAAUGCAUAUAAAGGCAAAUAAGUAUGAAAAAUCAAAAAUCGUGCAAAUUGGUUUUUAAUCACAAUUUGAAAUUGUGCAUAUGGUUUUUAUGCUCAUAAUUGUUUAGAAAUGAAAUUUUGAUAUUUUCAGCUCCAAAAUCUUUCAUGACUUACGUUUAAUAUUGUGAAAAAUUAAAAUCAAUGUAACGUAUUAUUUUUUUGUUGUUUUAGUGAGUUUAAAACUAUUCAUUUUCAUUUUAAAACUUAUUAAAAUAAUAUUUCAUACUUUUAAAGCUCGACUCCAGCAUAAAUGAUUUUCAAAGUAAAACGUUAAAACUUCAUAAGCGUCGAGCUUUGAAUUUGUGCGUAAUGUAUAAAGCAAGUUAGCACACAAUUAAUUGUAUCAAGCGCUAAUAACAAUUUCACAAAUGAUAUCCAAAUAUCAAUAGCAUCUCAUAAAUUUUUUGGAGCACUCAUGAAUUCUCUUAAAAAUGCAUCUAAAGCAAAUGAGCAUGAAAAAGUAAAAAUCAUGCAAAUGGUUUUUAUAUCACAAUUUGAAAUUGUGCAGAUAGUUUUUACGUCCAUAAUUGUUCAAAAGCGAAAAUUUGAUAUUCUCAGCUCCAAAACCUUUCAUGACUUACACUUAACACCGUAAAAAUUUAAAUCAAUAUAGGUUAUCAUGUUUCUGUGUUUGAGCGAGUUUAAAAUUAUUCAUUUUCAUUUAAAAACUUGCUAAAACAACAUUUCAUACUUUUAAAGUUCGACUCCAGCAGAAAUGGUUUUCAAAGCAAAACAUAAAAGCUUCAAAAGCAUCGAGCUUUGAGUUUGUGCGUAAUGUAUAAAAACAAGUUAGUAACACAUUUAAUCGCAUCAAGGCCAAUAACGAUUUCACAAAUGACAUUCAAAUAUCAACAGCGUCUCACAAAUUUCCUAAAGCACUUAUGAAUUCUUCUAAAAGUGCCUCUAGAGCAAAUAAGCAUGAAAAAUAAAAAUCGUGCAAAUGGUUUUUAUAUCACAAUUUGAAAUUGUGGAGAUGGUUUUUAUGUCCAUAAUUGUUCAUAAACAAAAUUUUGAUAUUUUCAGCUCCAAAAUCCUUCAUAAGUUAUACUUAACACUGUAAAAAUUAAAAUCAGUGCAGGUUAUCAUGCUUCUGUGUUUGAGCCAGUUUAAAAUUAUUAAUUUUCAUUUAAAAACUUUUUAAAACAAUAUUUCAUCCUUUUAAAGCUCGACUCCAAUAGAAAUGGUUUUCAAAGCAAAACAUAAAAGUUUCAAAAGCGUUGAACUAUGAGUUUGUGCGUAAUGUAUAAAAAUAAAUUAGCACAUAGUUUAAUCGCAACAAGCGCUAGUAACGAUUUCAAAAAUGAUAUCCAAAUAUCAAUAGCAUCUCAUAAAUUUUUUGGAGCACCCAUGAAUUCUCUUGAAAAUGCAUAUAAUAGAGCAAAUUCGCAUAAAAAAAUUAAAAUUGUGCAAAUGGUUUUUAUAUCGCAAUAUAAAAUUGUGCAGAUCGUUUUUAUGCCCGUAACUUUUUAGAAACAAAAUUUUGAUUUUUCAACUCCAAAAUCCUUAAUGACUUACAUAUAACACAGUGAAAAAUUAAAACAAAUGUAGGUUAUCACGUUUUCAUGUUUAAAACUAUUCAUUUUCAUUUAGAAACUUCCUAAAAUAACAUUUCAUACUUUUAUUGCUAGACUCCAGCAGAAAUGGUUUUCAAAGCAAAAGGUCGAGCUUUGAGUUUGUGCAUAAUGUAUAAAAACAAGUUAAUCACAUCAAGUGCCAAUAAAGAUUUCACAAAUGACACCAAAUAUCAAUAGCAUCCCACAAAUUCCUUGGAGCACCCAUGAAUUCUCUUAAAAAUGCAUCUACAGCAAAUAAGCAUGAAAAAUUAAACCAGCAAAAAUGGUUCUCAAAGCAAAACAUAAAACCUUCAAAAGCAUCGAGCUUUGUGUUUGAGUGUAAUAUAUAAAAACAAGUUAGCACACAAUUAAUCGCAUCAAGCGCCAAAUAACAAUUUCACAAAUGACAUCCAAAUAUCAACAGCAUCCCACAAAUUCCCUAGAGCACCCAUGAAUUCUCCUAAAUAUGCAUCUAAAGCAAAUAAGCAUGAAAAAUUAAAACUGUGCAAAUGAUUUUUAUAUCACAAUUUGAAAUUGAGCAAAUGGUUUUUAUAAACAUAAUUGUUCAGAAACGAAAUUUUGAUAUUUUCAUCUCCAAAAUCCUUCAUGACAUACACUUAACACCAUGUAAAUUUAAAACCAAUGCAGGUUAUCAUCUUUAUGUGUUUGAGCGAGUUUAGAACUAUUCAGUUCCAUUUAGAAACUUGCUAAAACAACAUUUCAUACGCUUAAAGCUUGACUCCAACAGAAAUGGUUUUCAAAGCUGAACAUCGAGCUUUGAGUUUGUGCGUAAUGUAUAAAAACAAGUUAGCACAUAGUUAAUCGCAUCAAGCGCCAAUAACAAUUUCACAAAUGACAUCCAAAUAUCAACAGCAUCCCACAAAUUCCCUAGAGCACACAUUAAUUUUCCUAAAAAGGAAUCUAAAGCAAAAAGGCGUGGAAAAUUAAAACCGUGUAAAUGGUUUUUAUAUCACAAUUUGAAAUUGUGCAGAUGAUUUUUAUUCCCAAAAUUGUUCAAAAAGAAAAUUUUGAUAUUUUCAACUCUAAAAUCCCUCAGGACUUACACUUAACACUGUGAAAAUUUAAAACCAAUGCAGGUCGUCAUGUUUAUGUGUUUGAGCGAGAUUAAAAUGAUUCAUUUCCAUUUAAAAACUUGCUAAAACAACAUUUGUUACUUUUAAAGCUUGACUCCAGCAGAAAUGGUUUUCAAAGCAAUACUAAUACUUCGAGCUUUGAGUUUGUGUGUAAUGUAUAAAAAAAAAGUUAGCACACAGUUAAUCACAUCAAGUGCGAAUAACGAUUUCACAAAUGACAUCCAAAUAUCAACAGAAUCACACAAAUUCCCUUGAACAACCAUGAAUUCCCCAAAAAAUGCAUAGAAAGCAAAUAAGCAUAAAAAAUUAAAACUGUGCAAAUGAUUUUUAUAUCACAAUUUGAGAUAUUGCAACAAGUUUUUAUGCCCAUAACUGUUCAGAAACGAAAUUUUCAUAUUUUCAGCUCCAAAAUCCUUCAUGACUUACACUUAACAACACUGCUGAAAAUUUAAAACCAAUGCAGGUUAUCAUGUUUAUGUGUUUGAGUGAGUUUAAAACUAUUCAUUUUCAUUUAAAAACUUUCUAAAACAACACUUCUUGCUUUUAAAGCUUAACUCCAGCAUAAAUGGUUUUCAAAGCAAAAUGUUGAGCUUUCAAUUUGUGCGUAAUGUAUAAAAACAAGUUAGCACACAGUUAAUAGCAUCAAGCGCCAAAAACGAUUUCACAAAUGACAUCCAAAUAUCAACAGCAUCCCUCAAAUUCCCUGGAGCACUCGUGAAUUUGCCUAACAAUGCCUCGAAAGCAAAAAAGCAAGAAAAUUAGAACCAUGCAAAUGGUUUUUAUAUCAAAUUUUGAAAUUGUGCAUAUGGUUUUUAUGCCCAUAGUUGUUUAGAAACGAAAUUUUGAUAUUUUCAGCCCCAAAAUCCUUCAUGAAUUACACCUAACACUGUAAAAAUUUAAAUGCACUGCAGGUUAUCAUGUUUCUGUGUUUCAGCGAGUUUAAAAACUUGCUAAAACAACAUUUCACACUUUUAAAGCUAGACUCCAGCAGAAAUGGUUUUCAAAGCAGAACAUUGAGGUUUGAGGUUGUGCAUAAUGUAUAAAAACAAGUUAACACACAGUUAAUCACAUCAAGCACCAAUAACAAUUUCACAAAUGACAUUGAAAUAUUAACAGCAUCCCACAAAUUCCCUGGAGCACCCAUGAAAUCCCCAAAAAAUGCAUCUAAAGCAAAUAAGCAUGAAAAAUUAAAACCGUGCAAAUGAUUUUUAUAUCACAAUUUGAAAUUGAGCAGAUGGUUUUUAUCGACAUAAUUGUUCAGAAACGAAAUUUUGAUAAUUUCAUCUCCAAAAUCCUUCAUGACAUACAGUUAACACCGUGAAAAUUUGAAACCAAUGCAGGUUUAUCAUCUUUCUGUGUUUGAGCGAGUUUAAAACUAUUCAUUUCCAUUUAAAAACUUGCUAAAUCAACAUUUCAUACUUUUAAAGCUCGAUUCCAGCAGAAAUGGUUUUUAAAGCAGAACGUUGAGCUUUGAGUUUGUGCGUAAUAUAUAAAAACAAGUUAGCACACAGUGAAUCGCAUCAAGCGCCAAUAACAAUUUCACAAAUGACAUCCAAAUAUCAACAGCUUCCCACAAAUUCCCUAGAGUAUCCACGAAUUCCCCUAAAAAUGCAUCUAGAGCAAAUAAGCAUGAAAAAUUAAAACCGUGCAAAUGGUUUUUAUAUCGCAAUUUGAAAUUUUGCAGAUGGUUUUUAUGCCCAUAAUUGUUCAGAAAUGAAAAUUUUGAUAUUUUCAGCUCCAAAAUCCUUCAUGACUUGCACCUAACACCGUGGAAAUUUAAAACCAAUGCAGGUUAUCAUGUUUAUGGGUUUGAGCGAGAUUAAAACUAUUCAUUUAUAUUUAAAAACUUGCUAAAACAUCAUUUCUUACUUUUAAAGUUUGACUCCAGCAAAAAUGGUUUUCAAAGCAAAACAUAAAAGCUUCAAAAGCGUCGAGCUUUUGUGUUUAGCAUAAUGUACAAAAACAAGUUAGCACACAGUUAAUCGCAUCAAGUGCCAAUACAGAUUUAACAAAUGACAUCCAAAUAUCAAUAGCAUCCCAAAAAUUUGAUGGAGCAUCCAUGAAUUCUCCUAAAAAUGCAUCUAAAGGAAAUAAGCAUGAAAAAUAAAAACUAGGCAAGUGGUUUUUAUAUAACAAUUUGAGAUUGUGCAGAUGGUUUUUAUGCCCAUAAUUGUUCAAAAACGAAAUUUUGAUAUUUUCAGCUCCAAAAUCCUUCAUGACUUACACCUAACACUGUGAAAAUUUAAAACCAAUGCAGGUUAUCAUGUUUAUGUGUUUGAGUGAGAUUAAAACUAUUCAUUUCCAUUUAACUGCUAUUGAUAUCAUGGCACUUACUUUUAAAGCUUGACUUUGGCAAAAAUUGUUUUCAAAGCAAAACAUAAAUCUUUGAAAGCGUCAAGCUUUGUGUUUGAGGAUAAUGUAUAAAAACAACUUAGCACACAGUUAAUCGCAUCAAGUGCCAAUAACAAUUUCACAAAUUACAUCCAAAUAUCGACAACAUCCCACAAAUUCCCUGGAGCAACCAUGAAUUCUCCUAAAAAUACAUCUAAAACAAAUAAGCUUGAAAAAUAAAAACCAUGCAAAUGAUAUUUUUUAUCACAAUUUGGAACAGAUGGUUUUUAUACACAUAAUUGUUUAGAAACGAAAUUUUGAUAUUUUCAUCUCCAAAAUCCUUCAUGGCAAACACUUAACACCGUGAAAAAUUAAACUAAUGCAUGUUAUCAUGUUUUUGUGUUUCAGCGAGUUUAAAACUAUUCAUUUCCAUUUUAAAACUUGCUAAAACAACAUUUCAUACUUUUAAAGUUCGACUCUAGCAAAACGGUUUUCAAAGCAAAACAUAAAAGUUUUAAAAGAGUCGAGCUUUGUGAGAGAAAUGUAGAAAAACAAGUUAGUACACAGUUAAUCAUAUCGAGUGCCAAUAACGAUUUCAUAAAAGACAUCCAAAUAUGAACAGCAUCCCACAAAUUCCAUGGAGCACCUAUGAAUUCUCCUAAAAAUGAUCUAAAGCAAAAAAGCAUGAAAAAUUAAAACCGUGCAAAUGGUUUUUAUUUCACAAUUUGAAAUUGAGCAGAUGGUUUUUAUGCCCAUAAUUGUUCAGAAACGAAAUUUUGAUAUUUUCAGCUCCAAAAUCCAUCAUGACUUACAACUAACACUGAAAAUUCAAAACUAAUGCAGGUUAUCAUGUUUAAGUAUUUGAGCGAGAUUAAAACUAUUCAUUUCCAUUUGAAAACUUGCUAAAACAACAUUUUUACUUUUAAAGUUCAACUCCAGGAAAAAUGGUUUUCAAAACAAAACAUAAAAGCUUCAAAAGUGUCGAGAUUUGUGUAAGAGCGUAAUGUAUAAAAACAAGUUAGCACAUAGUUAAUCGCAUCAAGUGCCAAUAACGAUUUCACAAAUGACAUCCAAAACUCAAUAGCAUCCCACAAAUUUACAGGAGCACCCAUGAAUUCUCCUAAAAAUGCAUCCAAAGGAAAUAAGCAUGAAAAAUAAAAACCAUGCAAAUGGUUUUUAUAUCACAUUUUCAAAUUGUGCAGAUAGUUUUUAUGCCCAUAAUUGUUUAGAAACGAAAUUUUGAUAUUUUCACCUCCAAAACCCUUCAUGACUUACACCUAACACCCUGAAAAUUUAAAACUAAUGCAUGUUACCAUGUUUAUGUGUUUGAGAGAGAUUAAAACUAUUAAUUUCCAUUUAAAAACUUGCUAAAACAGCAUUUCUUACUUUUAAAGCUCGACUCCAGCAGAAAUGGUUUUCAAAGCAAAACGUCAAGCUUUGAGUUUGUGCAUAAUGUAUAAAAACAAGUUAGCACACAGUUAAUCGCAUCAAGCGCCAACAACGAUUUCACAAAUGACAUCCAAAUAUCAAUAGCAUCCAACAAAUUCUCUGGACCACCCACGAAUUCUCGUAAAAAUGCAACUAAAGCAAAUAAGCAUGAAAAAUUAAAACCAUGCAAGUGGUUUUUAUAUCACAAUUUGAUUUUGUGCAGAUGGUUUUUUUUUCCCACAAUUGUUUAGAAAUGAAAUUUUGAUAUUUUCAGCUCCAAAAUCUUUCACGACUUACACUUAACGCAAUGAAAAAAUAAAACCAAUGCAGCUUAUAAUGUUUUUGUGUUUGAGCGUGUUUAAAAUUAUUAAUUUCCAUUUAAAAACUUGCUAAAACAACAUUUUAUUCUUUUAAAGUUUGACUCAAGCAGAAAUGGAUUUCAAAACAAAACAUAAAAGUUUCAAAAGAGAAAAGCUUUGAAUUUCUGCAUAAUGUAUAAAAGCAAGUUAGCGCACAGUUAAUCACAUCAAGUGCCAAUAACGAUUUCAAAAAUGCAUCCCACAAAUUCACUGAAGCACCCAUGAAUUCUCCUAAAAAUGCAUCUAAAUCAAAUAAGCAUGAAAAAUUAAAACCGUGCAAACAGUUUUUAUACCACAAUUUGAAAUUAUAUGGUUUUUAUACCCAAAAUUGUUCAGAAAGAAAAUUUUGAUAUUGUCAACUCCAAAAUCCCUCAUGACUUACACUUAACACCGUGAAAAAUUAGAACAAAUACAGGUUAUCAUGUUAUUGUGUUUGAGCAAGUUUAAAACUAUUCAUUUCCAUUUAAAAACUUCCUAAAACAACAUUUCAUACUUUUAAAGUUCGACUCCAGUAAAAAUGGUUUUCAAAUCAAAACAUAAAAGCUUCAAAAGCAUCGAGCUUUGUGUUUGUGCAUAAUGUAUAGAAGGAAAUUAGCACACAGUUAAUCGCAUCAAGCACCCAUAACUAUUUGACAAAUGAUAUCCAAAUAUCAACGGCAUCCCAUAAAUUCCCUGGUGCACUCAUGAAUUCUCCCAAAAAUGCAUCUAAAGCAAAAAAAAUGAAAAAUUAAAACCGUGCAAAUGGUUUUUAUAUCACAAUUUGAAAUUUUGCAGAUGGUUUUUAUGCCCAUAAUUGUUCAGAAACGAAAUUUUGAUAUUUUCAGCUCCAAAAUCCUUCAUGACUUACACUUAGCACCAUGAAAAUUUAAAACCAAUAGAGGUUAUCAUGUUUCUGUGUUUGAGCGAGUUUAAAACUAUUCAUUUUCAUUUAAAAACUUGCUAAAAACACCAUUUUCGUACUUUUAUAGCUUGACUCCAGCACAAAUCGUUGUCAAGGCAAAACGUCGAGCUUUGAGUCUGUGCGUAAUGUAUAAAAACAGGUUCGCACAUAAUUAAUCGCCUCAAGCACCAAUAGUGAUUUCACCAAUGACAUCCAAAUAUCAAUAGUAUCCCACAAAUUCCCUAGAGCACCUACGAAUUCUCAUAUAAAUGCAUCUAAAGCAAAUAUGAAUAAAAAAUUAAAACCGUGCAAAUGGUUUUUAUAUCACAAUUUGAAAUUGCGCAGAAGGUUUUUAUGCCAUAAUUGUUCAGAAACGAAAUUUGAUAUUUUCACCUCCAAAAUCCUUCAUGACUAUUUACACUGUCAAGAAUUAAAAACAAUGCAGGUUAUUAUGUUUCUGUGUUUGAGCAAGUUUAAAACUAUUCAUUUCCACUUUAAAAACUCGCCAAAACAACAUUUCAUACUUUUAAAGCUCAACUCAAGCAGAGAUGGUUUUCAAAGCAAAACGUCGAGCUUUGAGUUUGUGCGUAUUGUAUAAAAACAAGUUAGCACACAGUUAAUCGUAUCAAGCGUCAAUAACGAUUUCACAAAUGACAUCCAAAUAUCAACAGCUUCCCACAAAUUCUCUGGAGCCCCCAUGAAUUCUCCUAAAAAUGCAUCUAAAGAAAAUAAGCAUGAAAAAUUAAAACCGUGCAAAUUGUUUUUAUAUCACAAUUUGAAAUUGUGCAAAUCAUUUUUAUGCCGAUAAUUGUUCAGAAAUGAAAUUUUGAUAUUUUCAGCACCAAAAUCCUUCAUGACAUGCACCUAACACUGAAAAAUUAAAACCAAUGCAAGUUAUCAUUUUUCUGUGUUUGAGCAAGUUUAAAACUACUAUUUCCAUUUAAAAACUUGCUAAAACAACAUUCCAUACUUUUAAAGCUCGACUCCAACAGAAAUGUUUCCAAAGCAAAACAUAAAAGCUUCAAAAGCGUUGAGCUUUGAGUUUGAGCGUAAUGUAUAAAAACAUGUUGGCAGACAGUUAAUCGCCUGGAACGCCAAUAAUGAUUUCACAAAUAAUAUCCAAAUAUCAACACUAUCCCACAAAGUCCUUGGAGCACCCAUGAAUUCUCCUAAAAAUGCAUCUAAAGCAAAAAAGAAUGAAAAAUUAAAACUGUGCAAAUGGUUUUUAUAUCAGAAUUUGAAAUUGUGCAGAUGGUUUUUAUGAACGUAAUUGUUCAGAAACGAAAUUUUGAAAAAGCUUCAAAAGUGUCGAGCUUUGAGUUUGUGCGUAAUGUGUAAAAUCAAGUUAGCACACAGUUAAUCGCACCAAGUCACAAGAAUGAUUUCACAAAUGACAUCAAAAUAUCAACAGCAUCCCACAAAUACCCUGGAGAACCCAUGACUUUCUGCAAAAAUAUGCAUCUAAAGCAAAAAAGAAUGAAAAAUAAAAACCGUGCAAAUGGUUUUUAUAUCAUAAUUCGAAAUUAUGUAGAUGGUUUUUAUGCCCAUAAUUCUUCAGAAACGAAAUUUUGAUAUUUUCAUCUACAAAAUACUUCGUAACUUACACUAAACACCGUGAAAAAUUAAAACCAAUGCAGGUUAUCAUGUUUCUGUGAUUGAGUGAGUUUAAAACUAUUCAUUUCCAUUUAAAAACUUUCUAAAACAACAUUUCAUACUUUUACAGCUCGACUACAGCACAAAUGGUUUCCAAAACAAAACGUAAAAGCUUCAAAAGCGUCGAGCUUUGAGUUUGUGCGUAAUGUAUAAAAACAAGUUAGCACACAGUUAAUCACAGCAAACUCCAAUAACGAUUUCACAAAUGACAUCCAAAUAUCAACAGCAUCCCACAAAUUCCCGGGAGCACCCAUGAAUUCUCCUAAAAAGGCAGCUCAAGCAAAUAAGCGUGAAAAAUUAAAACCAUGCAAAAGGUUUUUAUAUCACAGUUUGAAAUUGUGCAGAUGGUUUUUACGCCCAUAAUUGUUUAAAAAUGAAAUUUUGAUAUUUUGAGUUGGAAAAACCUUCAUGACUUUGCACCUAACACUUCAUUUUUUUGUGUUUGAGUGAGUUUGAAACUAUUCAUUUCAAUUUAAAAACUUUCUAAAACAACAUUUCAUAAUUUUUGAAGCUCAACUACAGCAUAAAUGGUUUGUGUGUAAUGCACAAAAACAAGUUAGCACACAGUUAAUUGACUUAAGCACCAAUAACAUCCAAAUAUCAACAGCAUCCCACAAAUUCCCUUGAGCACAAAUUGAAUUCUCCUAAAAAUUCAUCUAAAGCAAAUAAGUAUGAAAAAUUAAAAUCGUGCAAAUUGUUUUCAUAUCACAAUUUGAAAUUGUGCUGAUGCUUUUUAUGCCCAUAACUGCUCAGAAACGAAAUUAUGAUAUUUUUAGCUCCAAAAUCUUUCAUGACUUGCACUUAACACCGUGAAAAGUCAAAACCAAUGCAGGUUAUCAUGUUUCUGUGUUUGAGCGAGUUUAAAACUAUUCAUUUCCGUUUAAAAACUUCCUAAAACAACAUUUCAUACUCUUAAAGGUCGACUCCAGCAGAAAUAGUUUCCAAAACAAAGCAUAAAAACUUCAAUAGCAUCGAGCUUUGAGUUUGUGGGUAAUGUAUGAACCAAAAGUUAGCACAUAGUUAAUUGCAUCAAGCGCCAAUAACGAUUUCACAAAUGGCACCCAAAUAUCAACAGCAUUACACAAAUUUCUUGGAGUGCCAUGAAUUCUCCUAAAAAUGCAUCUAAAGCAAAUAAGCAUGGAAAAUUAAAACAGUGCAAAUGGUUUUUAUAUCACAAUUUGAAAUUGUGCAGAUGGUUCUUAUGUCCAUAAUUGUUUAGAAACGAAAUUUUGAUAUUUUCAUCUCGAAAAUCCUUCAUGACUUACACUUAACACAAUGAAACAUUAAAAAUAAUGCAGGUUAUCAUGUUUCUGUGAUUGAGCGGGUUUAAAACUAUUCAUUUCCAUUUAAAAACUUGCUAAAACAACAUUUCAUACUUUUAAAGCCUGACUCCAGGAGAAAUAGUUUUCAAAGCAAAACGUCAAGCUUGGAGCACCCAUGAAUUCUCCUAAAAAGGCAGUCGAAGCAAAUAAGCAUGAAAUAUUAAAACCGUGCAAAUGGUUUUUAUAUCCCAAUUUGAGAUUGUGCAGAUUGUUUUUAUGCCCAUAAUUAUUCGAAAGUGAAAUUCUGAUAUUUUUAACUUGGAAAUCCAUCAUAACUUGCACCUAACACCGGUAAAAAUUAAAACCAAUGCAGGUUAAACCAUAAAACUUGAAAAGUGUCAAGCUUUGACUUUGUGCGUAAUUUAUAAAAACAAGUUAGCACACAGUUAAUCGCAUCAAGCGCCAAUAACGAUUUCACAAAUGACAUCCAAAUAUCAACAGUAUCCACAAAUUCCCUAGAGCACCAAUGAAUUCUCCUAAAAAAGCAUGUAAAGCAAAUAAGCAUAAAAAAUUAAAACCAUGUGAAUGGUUUUAAUAUCACAAUUUGAAAUUCUGCAGGUGGUUUUUAUGCCCAUAAUUGUUAAGAAGUGAAAUUUUGAUAUUUUCAACUCCAAAAUCCUUCAUGACAUGCACCUAACACCAUGAAAAAUUAAAACCAAUGCAGGUUAUCAUUUUUUUUUGUGUUUGAGCGAGUUUAAAACUAUUCAUUUCCAUUUAAAAACUUACUAAAACAACGUUUCAUACUUUUAAAGCCAAACUCCAGCAGAUAUGGCUUCCAAAGCAAAACCUAAAAGCUUUAAAAGUGUCGAGCUUUGAGUUUGUGUGUAAUGAAUAAAAACAAGAACACAGUUAAUCACAUCAAAGCGCCAAUAACAAUUUCACAAAUGAUAUCUAAAUAUCAACAGCAUCCAGCAAAUUCCCUGAGGCACCCAUGAAUUCUCCUGAAAAAGCAUCUAAAGCAAAUAAGCAUGAAAAAUUAAAAUCGUGCAAAUGGUUUUUAUAUCACAAUUUGAAAUUGUGCAGAUGGUUUUUAUACCCAUAAUUGUUCAGAAAUGAAAAUUUGAUUUUUUUUAACUCCGAAAUACUCCAUGACUUCCACCUAGCACUGUGAAAAAUUAAAACCAACGCAGCUUAUCACGUUUCUGUGAUUCAAUGAGUUUAAAAUAUUCAUUUCCGUUUAAAAACUUUUUAAAACAACAUUUCAUACUUUUAAAGCUCGACUACAGCAUAAAUGGUUUCCAAAGCAAAACGUAAAAGCUGCAAAAGCGUCGAGCUAUGAGUUUGUACGUAAUGUAUAAAACCAAGUUAGCACACAAUUAAUCGCAUCAAGUGCCAAUAAUGAUUUCACAAAUGACAUCCAAAUAUCAACAGCAACCCACAAAUUCCUUGGAGCACCAAUGAAUUCUCCUAAAAAUUCGGCUGAAGCAAAUAAGCGAGAAAAAUUAAAACCGCACAAAUGGUUUUUAUAUCACAAUAUAUGAUUGUGCAGAUGGUUUUUAUGCCCAUAAUUGUUCCAAAAUGAAUUUUUGAUAUUUUUAGCUCCAAAAUCCUUCAUGACAUGCACCUAACACCGUGAAAAAUUAAAACCAAUGUAAGUUAUCAUUUUUCUGUGAUUGGGCGAGUUUAAAACUAUUCAUUUCCAUUUAAAAACUCGCUAAAACGACAUUUCAUACCUUUAAAGCUUGACUCCAGCAGAGAUGGUUUCCAAACCAAAACAUAAAAGCUUCAAAUGACAUCCAAAUAUCAACAACAACCCACAAAUUACCUGAAGCACCAAUGAAUUCUCCUAAAAAUGCAUCAAAAGCAAAUAAGUAUGAAAAAUUAAAACCGUGUAAAUGGUUUUUAUAUCGAAAUUUAAAAUUGUGCAGAUGGUUUUUAUGCCCAUAAUUGUUAAAAAAAACGAAAUUUUGAUAUUUUUAGCUCCAAAAUCUUUCAUUACUUACACUUAACACAAUGAAAAAUUAAAACCAAUGCAAGUUAUCAUGUUUCUAUGGUUGAAUGAGUUCAACACGACCCAUUUCCAUUUAAAAACUUGCUAAAAAAACAUGUCAUACUUUUCAAGCUUCACUCUAGCAGAAAUGGCUUUCAAUGCAAAACUUCGAGUUUUGAGUCUGUGCGUAAUGUAUAAAAACAAGUUAGCACACAGUUAAUCGCAUCAAGUGCCAAUAAUGAUUUCACAAAUCAUAUCCAAAUAUCAACAGCAUCCCACAAAUUCCCUAGAGCACCCAUGAAUUCUCCGAAAAAUGCAUCUAAAGCAAAUAUGCAUGACAAAUUAAAACCUUGCAAACGACUUUUAUAUCACAAUUCGAGAUUGUGCAGAUAGUUUUUACACCCAUAAUUGUUCAGAAAUGAAAAUUUGAUUUUUUUGACUCCAAAAUACUUCAUGAUUUGCACCUAACACCGAGAAAAAUUAUACCAACGCAGCUUAUCAUGUUGCUGUGAUUCAGCAAGUUUAAAACUAUUCAUUUCCUUUUAAAAACUUUCUAAAACAACAUUUCAUACUUUUAAAGCUCAACUACAGUAUAAAUGGCUUCCAAAGCAAAACGUAAAAGCUUCAAAAGUAUCGAGCUUUGACUUUGUGCGUAAUGUAUAAAAACAAGUUAGCACACAGUUAAUCGCAUCAAGCUCCAAUAAGGAUUUCACAAAUGACAUCCAAAUAUCAACAGCAUCCCACAAAUUCCCUGGAGCACCCACGAAUUCUCCUAAAAAUUCAGCUGAAGCAAAUAAGCCUGAAAAAUUAAAACCGUGCAGAUUGUUUUUAUAUCACAAUUUGAGAUUGUCCAUAUGGUUUUUGUGCCCAUAAUUGUUCAGAGUAAAAAACUUGAUAACUUUCAACUAACACUGUGAAAACUUAAAACCAAAGCAGGUUAUCAUUUUUCUGUGUUUGAGUGAGUUUAAAACUAUUUAUUUCCAUUUAAAAACUUUCUAAAACAAUAUUUCAUACUUUUAAAACUCGACCACAUCAUAAAUGAUUUCCAAAGCAAAACGUAAAAGCUUCAAAGGCGUUGAGCUUUUAGUUUGUGCGUAACAUAUAAAAAGAAUUAGCACACAGUUAAUCGCAUCAAGCCCCAAUAAUGAUUUCACAAAUGACAUCCAAAUAUCAACAGCAUCCCACAAAUUCCCUGGAGCACCAAUGAAUUGUCCUAAAAAUGCAUCUAAAGCAAAUAAGCAUGAAAAAUUAAAACCAUGCAAAUGGAUUUUAUAUCACAAUUUGAGAUUGUGCAGAUGGUUUUUAUGCCCAUAAUUGUUCAUAAACGAAAUUUUCAUAUUUUCAGCUACAAAAUCCUUAAUGACUUUCACUUAAAACCAUGAGAAAUUAAAACCAAUGCAGGUUAUCAUGUUUUUGUGAUUGAGCGAGUUUAAACCUACUCAUUUCCAUUUAAAAACUUUCUAAAACAACAUUUCAUACUUUUAAAGCUUGACUACAGGAUAAGUGGUUUCCAAAGCAAAACUUAAAUGUUUCAAAAGAGUCGAGCUUUGAGUUUGUUCGUAAUGUAUAAGAACAAGUUAGCACACAGUUAAUCCCAUCAAAGCGCCAAUAACGAUUUCACAAAUGACAUUCAAAUAUCAACAGCAUCCCACAAAUUCCCUUGAGCACCCAUGAAUUGUCCUAAAAAUGCAUCUAAAGCAAAUAACAUGAAAAAUUAAAACCGUUCAAAUGGUUUUUAUAUCAGAAUUUGAGAUGGGGCAGAUCGUUUUUAGGCUCAUAAUUGCUCAGAAAUGAAAUUUUGAUAUUUUUAGCUCCAAAAUCCUUCAUGACUUGCACCUAACACUGAAAAAUUAAAACCAAUGCAAGUUAUCAUUUUUCUAUGUUUUAGCGAAUUUAAAACUAUUCAUUUCCAUUUAAAAACUUACUAAAACAACAUUUCAUAUAUUUAAAGCUCGACUCUAGCAGAAAUAGUUUCGAAAGUAAAACAUAAAAAGCUUCGAAAGCGUCACACUUUCAAUUUGUGCAUAAUGUAUAAAAACAAGUUAAGCACACAUUUAAUCACAUCAAAGCGCGAAUAACCAUUUCACAAAUGACAUCCAAAUAUCAACCGCAUCCCAAAAAUUCCCUGGAGCACCCAUGAAUUCUCCUAAAAAGGCAGUUGAAGCAAAUAAGUGUGAAAAAUUAUAACCGUGCAAUUGGUUUUAAUAUCACAAUUUUAGAUUGUGCAGAUGGUUUUUAUAUUUUUAGCUCCAAAUAAAAACCGUUCAAAUGGUUUUUAUAUCAGAAUUUGAGAUGGGGCAGAUCGUUUUUAGGCUCAUAAUUGCUCAGAAAUGAAAUUUUCAUAUUUUUAGCUCCAAAAUACUUUCAUCACUUGCACCUAACACCGUGAAAAAUUAAAACCAAUGUAGGUUAUCAUUUUUCUGUGUUUGAGCGAGCUUCAAAGUAUUCAUUUCAAUUUAAAAAGUUGCUAAAACAACAUUUCAUAAUUUUUAAAGCUUGACUACAGCAUAAAUAGUUUCCAAAGCAAAACAUAAAAGCAUCAAAACCGUCGAGCUUUGAGUUUGUGCGUAAUAUCAACAGCAUCCCACAAAUUCCCGGAGCACCCAUAAAUUCUCCUAAAAAAUUCAGCUGAAGGAAACAAGCAUGAAAAAUAAAAAUCAUGCAAAUGAUUUUUAUAUCGCAAUUUUAGAUUAUGCAUAUGGUUUUUAUGCCCAUAAUUGUUCAGAAAUGAAAUUUUGAUUUUUUUUAACUCCUAAGUACUUCAUGACUUGCACCUAAUACCAUGAAAACUGAAAACUAACACCGGUUAUCAUUUUUCUGUGUUUGAGCGAGUUUAAAACUAUUCAUUUCUAUUUAAAAACUUUCUAAAACAACAUUUCAUACUUUUAAAGCUCGACUACAGCAUAAAUGGUUUCCAAAACAAAACGAAAAAGCUUCAAAGGCAUCGAGCUUUUAGUUUGUGCGUAACAUAUAAAAAAAAGUUAGUACACAGUUAAUUGAAUCAAGCUCCAAUAACGAUUUCACAAAUGACAUCCAAAUAUCAACAACAUCCCACAAAUUCCCUGGAGCACCCAUGAAUUCUCCUAAAAAUGCAUCCAAAGAAAAUAAGCAUGAAAAAUUAAAAUCGUGCCAACAGUUUUUAUAUCACAAUUUGGAAUUGUGCAAAUGGUUUUUAUGCCCAUAAUUGUUCAAAAACGAAAUUUUUAUAUUUUCAGCUCCAAAAUCCUUCAUGACUUAUACUUAGCACUGUGAGAAAUUAAAACCAAUGCAGGUUAUCAUGUUUCUGUGAUUGAGCAAGUUUAAAACUACUCAUUUCCAUUUAAAAACUUUCUGAAAGUACAUUUCAUAGUUUUAAAGCUUGACAACAGCAUAAAUGGUUUCCAAUGCAAAACGUAAAAGCUUCAAAAGAGUCGAGCAUUGAGUUUGUGUGUCAAUAAGAAUUUCACAAAUGACUUCCAAAUAUCAACAGCUUCCCACAAAUUCCCUGGAGCACCCAUGAAUUGUCCUAAAAAGGCAGCCGAAGCAAAUAAGCAAGAAAAAUUAAAAACCAUGCAAAUGCAGGUAAUCAUUUUUCUGUGAUUGAGCUAGUUUAAAACUAUUUAUUUCAAAUUAAAAACGUACUAAAAUAACAUUUCAUACAUUUAAAACUUGACUCCAGUAGAAAUGGUUUCGAAAGCAAAACGUAAAACUUCAAAAGUGUCAAGCUUUGAGUUUGUGCCUAAUGUAUAAAAACAAGUUAGCAUACAGUUAAUCGCAUCAAAGCGCCAAUAACGAUUUCACAAAUGACAUCCAAAUAUAAACAGCAUCUCACAAAAUCCCUGGAGCACCCAUGAAUUGUCCUAAAAAUGCAUCUAACGCAUAUAAGCAUGAAAAAUUAAAACUGUGCAAAUGGCUUUUAUAUCACAAUUUGAGAUUGAGCAGAUGGUUUUUCUGCCCAUAAUUGUUCAGAAGAGAAAUUUUGAUAUUUUUAGCUCCAAAAUCCUUCAUCACUUGCACCUAACACCGUAAAAAAUUAAAACCAAUGCAAGUUAUCAUUUUUCUGUGUUUUAGCGAGUUUAAAACUAUUCAUUUCCCUUUAAAAACUUACUAAAACAACAUUUUCGUAGUUUUAAAGCUCGACUCCAGCAGAAAUGGUUUCCAAAGCAACACAUAAAAAGCUUCAAAAGUGUUGAGCUUUGAGUUUGUGCGCAUGUAUAAAAACAAGUAAGCACACAUUUAAUCGCAUCAAAGUGCCAAUAACAAUUUGACAAAUGACAUCCAAAUAUCAACAGCAUCCAACAAAUCGCAUGGUGCACCCAUGAAUUCUCAAAAUGCAUCUAAUGCAAAUAAACAUGAAAAAUUAAAAACCAUGCAAAUUGUUUUUAUAUCACAAUUUGAGAUGUUGCAUAUGGUUUUUAUGCCCAUAAAUUUUCAGAAAUGAAAUUUUGAUUUUUUUAACUGCAAAAUACUUCAUGACUUGCACCUAACAUUGUGAAAAAUUAAAACCAACGCAGAUUAAGCGAGUUUAAAAUAAUCAUUUCCAUUUAAAAACUUUCUAAAAUAACAUUUCAUACUUUUAAAGCUCGACUACAGCAUAAAUGGUUUCCAAACCAAAACGUAAAAGCUUUAAAAGUGUCGAGCUAUGAGUUUGUGCAUAAUGUAUAAAAAGAAGUUAGCAUCUUAUCAAGCGCCAAUAACGAUUUCACAAAUGAUCCAAAUAUCAACAGCAUUCCACAAAUUCCAUGCAGCGCCCAAGAAUUCUACUAAAAAUUCAUCUAAAGCAAAUAAGUAUGAAAAAUUAAAACCGUGCAAAUGGUUUUUAUAUCACAGUUUGAAAUUGGGCAGAUGGUUUUUAUGCUGAUAAUUGUUAAGAAAUGAAAUUUUGAUAUUUUCAGCUGCAAAAUCCUUCAUGACAUGUGCCUAAUACCAUUAAAAAAUUAAAACUAAUGCAGGUUAUCAUUUUUCUGUGUUUGACAGUUUAAAACUAUUCAUUUCCAUUUAAAAGCAUGCUAAAACAACAUUUCGUAGUUUUAAAGCUCGACUCCAGUAGAAACAGUUUUCAAAGCAAAACAUAAAAGAUUCAAAAGUGUCAAGCUUUGAGUUUGUGUGUAAUGUAUAAAAACAAGUUAGCACACAGUUAAUCGCAUUAAGCAUCAAUAACGAUUUCACAAAUGGCAUCCAAAUAUCAACAGCAUCCCACAAAUUUCCUGGAGCACCCAUGAAUUCUCCUAAAAAUGCAUCUAAAGCAAAUAAGCAUGAAAAGCUAAAACCAUGGAAAUGGUUUUUAUAUCACAAUUUGAAAUUGUGCAGAUGAUUUUUACGCCCAUAAUUGUUCAGACACAAAACUUUGAUAUUUUCAGCCCCAAAAUCCUUUGACUUGCACUUAACACAAUGAAAAAUUAAAACCAAAGCAGGUUAUCAUGUUUCUGUGUUUGAGGGAGUUUAAAACUAUUAAUUUCCAUUUUUAGAAACUUGCUAAAACAGCAUUUUAUACUUUUAAAGCUCGACUCCAGCAGAAAUGGUUUUCAAAGCAAAACAUAAAAGAUUCAAAAGCGUUAAGCUUUGAGUUUGUGUGUAAUGUAUAAAAACAAGUUAGCACAUCGUUAAUCGCAUCAAACGCCAAUAGUGAUUUCAGAAAUGACAUCCAAAUAUCAACAGCAUCUCACAAAUUCCCCGGAGAAACUAUGAAUUCUCCUAUAAAUGCAUCUAAAGCAAAUAUGAAUGAAAAAUUAAAACCGUGCAAAUGGUUUUUAUGCCACAAUUUGACAUUGUGCAGAUGGUUUUUAUGCCCAUAACUGUUCAGAAACGAAAUUUUGAUAUUUUCAACUCCAAAAUCCUUCAUGUGCAGAUGGUUAAUCGCAUUAAGCGCUGAUAACAAUUUCAAAUAUGAACCCAUUCACAUAAAGCAUCGCUCAAAUUCCAUAUAGCAUCCAUGACUUCUCCUAAAAAUGCUAAAGCAAAUAGGCAUGAAAAAUUAAAACCACGCAAAUUGUUUUUAUGCCUAUAAUUGUUCAGACAGGAAAUUUUGAUAUUUUCAGACCAAAAUCCUUCAUCACAUGCAUCUAACACCGUCAAAAAUUAAAACAAAUGCAAGUUAUCAUUUUUCUGUGUUUGAGCGAGUUGAAAACUAUUCAUUUCCAUUUAAAAACAAGCUAAAAGAACAUUCCAUACUUUUAAAGCUCGACUCCAGUAGAAAUGGUUUCCAAGGCAAAACAUAAAAGCUUCAAAAGCGUCGAGCUUUGAGUUUGUGCAUAAUGUAUAAAAACAAGUUAGCACACAGUUAAUCACAUCAACCUUCAAUCACAAUUUCACAAAUGAUAUCCAAAUACCAACGGCAUCCCACAAAUUCACUGGAGAACCCACGACUUUCUGCAAAAAAAUGCAUCUAAAGCAGAAAAGAAUGAAAAACUAAAACCAUGCAAAUGGUUUUUAUAUCACAAUUUGAAAUUGUGUAGAAGGUUUUUAUGCCCAUAAUUCUUCAGAAACGAAAUUUUGAUAUUUUCAUCUCCAAAAUCCUCCAUUACCUACACUAAACACCAUGAAAAAUUAAAUCCAAUGCAGGUUAUCAUGUUUCUAUGAUUGAGCGAGUUUAAAACUAUUCAUUUCAAUUUUAAGACUUUCUAAAACAACAUUUCAUACUUUUAGAGCUCGACUACAGUAUAAUUGGUUUCCAAAGCAAAACGUAAAAGUUUCAAAAGCGUUGAGCUUUGAGUUUGUGCAUAAUGUAUAAAAACAAGUUAGUACACAGUUAAUUGCAUCAAGCGCCAAAAACGAUUUCACAAAUGACAUCAAAAUAUCAACAGCAUCCCACAAAUUCCCUAGAGCACCCAUGAAGUCUCCUAAAAAUGCAUCCAAAGCAAAUAAGUAUGGAAAAUUAAAACAGUGCAGAUGGUUUUUAUAUCACAAUUUGAAAUUGUGCACAUGGUUCUUAUGUCCAUAAUUGUUGAGAAGCGAAAUUUUGAUAUUUUCAUCUCCAAAAUCCUUCAUGACUUACACUUAACACAACGAAACAUUAAAACUAAUGCAAGUUAUCAUGUUUCUGUGAUUGAGCGAGUUUAAAACUAUUCAUUUCUAUUUAAAAACUUGCUAAAACAACAUUUCAUACUUUUAAAGCUUAACUAUAGCAGAACUGGUUUCCAAAGCAAAACGUAAAAGCUUCAAAAGCGUUGAGGUUUGAGUUUGUGCGUGAUGUAUAAAAAACAUAUUAGCGCACAGUUAAUCGUGUCAAAGCGCCGACAACAAUUUCACAAAUGGCAUCUAAAUAUCAAUAGCAUCCCACAAAUUCCCUAAAGGCAGUCGAAGCAAAAAAGCAGGAAAAAUUUAAACCGUGCAAAUGGUUUUUAUAUCAUAAUUUGAGAUUGUGCUAAUGGUUUUUAUGCCCAUAACUAUUUAUAAAUGAAAUUUUGAUAUUUUGAACUUGAAAAUCCUUCAUGACUUGAACUUAACACCGGUAAAAAUUAAAACCAAUGCAGGUUAUCAUUAUUCUGUUUGUAAGCGAGUUUAAAACUAUUCAUUUACAUUUAAAAACGUACUAAAACAACAUUUCUUACUUUUAAAGCUUGACUCCAGCAGAAAUGGUUUUCAAAGCAAACCAUGAAACUUGAAAAGCAUCAAGCUUUGACUUUGUGCGUAAUUUAUAAAAACAAGUUGGCACGCAGUUAAUCGUGUCAAGCGCCAAUAAUGAUUUCACAAAUGACAUCCAAAUAUCAACAGCAUCCCACAAAUUCCCUAGAGCACCAAUUAAUUCUCCUAAAAAUGCAUGUAAAGCAAAUAAACAUGAAAAAUUAAAACCAUGCGAAUGAUUUUUAUAUCACAAUUUGAAAUUGUGCAGAUGGUUUUUAUGCCGAUAAUUGUUAAGAAAUGAAAAUUUGAUAUUUUCAGCUCUAAAAUCCUUCAUGACAUGCACCUAACACCGUGGAAAAUUAAAAACCAAUGCAGGUUACAUUUUUUGUGUUUGAGUGAGUUUAAAACUAUUCAUUUCCAUUUAAAAACUUACUAAAACAACGUUCCAUACUUUUAAAGCUCAACUCCAGCAGUUAUGGUUUCCAAAGCGUUGAGCUUUGAGUUUGUGUGUAAUGAAUAAAAACAAGUAACAACCCAGUUAAUCGCAUCAAAACGCCAAUAACGAUUUCUCAAAUGACAUUUAAAUAUCAACAGAUCCAACAAAUUCCUUGGAGCACCCAUGAAUUCCCCUGAAAAUGCAUCUAAAGCAAAUGAGCAUGAAAAAUAAAAAUCAUGCAAAUGGUUUUUAUAUCCCAAUUUGAGAUUGUGCAGAUGGUUUUUAUGCCCAGAAUUGUUCAGAAAUGAAGUUUUAAUUUUUUUAACUCCAAAAUACUUCAUGACUUGCACCUAACACCAAGAAAAAUUAAUACCAACGCAUCUUAUCCUGUUUCUGUGAGUCAGCGAGUUUAAAACUAUUCAUUUCCAUUAAAAAACUUUCUAAAACAACAUUUCAUACUUUUAAAGCUCGACUACAGCAUAAAUGGUUUCCAAAGCAAAACGUAAAAGCUUCAAAAGAGUCGAGCUUUGAUUUUGGGCGUAAUGUAUAAAAACAAGUUAGCACACAGUUAAUCGCAUCAAGCUCCAAUAAUGAUUUCGCAAAUAACAUCCAAAUAUCAACAGCAUCCCACAAAUUCCCUAAAGCACCCAUGAAUUACUCUAAAAAUUCUGCAGAAGCAAAUAAGCAUGAAAAAUAAAAACCAUGCAAAUGGUUUUUAUAUCACAAUUUGAGAUUGUGCAUAUGGGUUUUUUUGCCCAUAAUUGUUCAGAAAUUAAAAAUUUUGAUUUUUUUAACUCUAAAAUACUUCGUGACUUGCAUCUAACACUGUGAAAAAUAAAACCAACGCAGGUUAUCAUAUUUCUAAGAUUGAGCGAGUUUAAAACUAUUCAUUUCCAUUUAAAAACUUUCUAAAACAAGAUUUCAUACUUUUAAAGCUUGACUACAGUAUAAAUGGAUUCCAAAGCAAAACGUAAAAGCUUCAAAAGCAUCGAACUUUGAGUUUGUGUGUAAUGUAUAAAAACAAGUUAGCACACAUGUAAUCACAUGAAGCUCCAACAAUGAUUUCACAAAUGACGUCCAAUUAUCAAUAGCAUCCUCCCCAGAGCACCCAUGAAUUCUCCAAAAAUACAUCUAAUGCAAAUAAGCAUAAAAAUUAAAACCGUACAAAUGGUUUUAAUAUCACAAUUUGAGAUUGCACAUAUGGGUUAUAUGCCCAUAACUGGUCAGAAAUGAAAUUUUGAUUUUUUUAACUCCAAAAUACUUCAUGACUUGCACCUAACACUGUGAAAAAUUAAAAUCACAUAAAGCUCCAAUAAUGAUUUCACAAAUGUCAUCCAAAUAUCAACAGCAUCUCACAAAUUCCCCGCAGCACCCACGAAUUCUCAUAAAAUUACAUCUAAAGAAAAAUUAAAACCGUGCAAAUGGUUUUUAUAUCGCAAUUUGAAAUUGUGCAGAUGGUUCUUAGGCUCAUAAUUGUUCAGAAAUGAAAUUUUCAUAUUUUCAGCGCCAAAUUUAUUCAUGACUUACACUUAACACCGUGAGAAAUUAAAACCCGUGUAGGUUAUCAUGUUUCUGUGAUUGAGCGAGUUUAAAACUAUUCAUUUCCAUUUAAAAACAUUCUAAAACAACAUUUUAUACUUUUAAAGCUCGACUACAGCAUAAAUGGUUCCCAAAGUAAAAUGUAAAAGCUUUAAAAUCGUUGAACUUUGAGUUUGUGCAUAAUGUAUAAAAACAAGUUAGCACACAGUUAAUCACAUCAAGCACCAACAACGAUUUCACAAAUGACAUCCAAAUAUCAACAGCAUCCCACAAAUUCAAAUUCCCUGAAGCACCCAUGAAUUCUCCAAAAAUUUUUGUUGAUGCAAAUAUGCAUGAAAAAUUCAAACCGUGCAAAUGGUUUUUAUAUCACAAUUUGAGAUUGUGGAUAUGGUUUUUAUGCCGAUAAUUGUUCAGAAACGAAAUUUUGAUAUUUUAAACUCCAAAAUCCUUCAUGACUUACACAUAACACCAUGAAAAAUUGAAAGCAAUGUAGGUUAUCAUGUUUCUGUGCUUUGAGUGAGUUUAAAACUAUUCAUUUCAAUUUAAAAUCUCGCUAAAAAAACAUUUCAUACUUUUAACACUCGACUUCAACAGAAAUGGUUGUCAAAACAAGGUAUAAAAGCUUUAAAAAUGUUGAUCUUUCAGUUUGUGCAUAACGUAUAAAAACAAGUUAGCACACAGUUGCAUCAAGCGACAAUAACAAUUUCACAAAUGGCAUCAUAGUAUCAACAGCAUCCCACAAUUUCCCUGGAGCAUCAAUGAAUUCUCCAAAAAAUGCAUCUGCAGCGAAUAAGUGGCUUUUAUAUCACAAUUUGAAAUUGUGUAAUGUUUUUACGCACAUAAUUGUUCAGAAACGAAAUUUUGAUCUUUUGAGCUCCAAAAUCCUUCAUGACAUACACUUAAAACCGUGAAAAACUAAAACCAUUACUGGUUAUCAUGUUUCCGUGUUUGAGAGAGUUUAAAACUAUUCAUUUCCAUUUAAAAGCAUUGAGUUUGUGUGUAAUUUAUAAAAACAGGUUAGUACACAGUUAAUCGCAUCAAGUGCCAACAACAACCUCACAAAUGACAUCCAAAUAUCAACAGCAUCCUACAAAAUCCCCGGAGCACCCAUGAAUUCUGCAAAAACUUCAGCUGAUGCAAAUAAGCAGGAAAAAUGGUUUUUAUGUCACAAUUUGAGAUCGUGCAGAUGGUUUUUAUGCCCAUUAUUGCUUAGAAAUGAAAUUCUAUUUUUUUUAACUCCAAAAUACUUCAUGAGUUGCACCUAACACCAUGAAAAAUGAAAACCAAAGCAGGUUAUCAUGUUUCUGUGACUGAGCGAGUUUAAAACUACGCAGUUCCAUUUAAAAACUUUCUAAACCAACAUUUCAUACUUUUAAAGCUUGACUACAACAUAAAUGGUUUCCAAAGCAAAACGUAAAAGCUUCAAAAGCAUCGAGCUUUGAGUUUGUGCAUAAUGUAUAAAAACAAGUUAGCACACAGUUAAUCACAUCAAGCUCCAAUAACGACUUCACAAAUGACAUCCAAAUAUCAACAGCAUCCCACAAAUUCCCUGGAGCAGCCGUGAAUUCUCCUAAAAAUUCAGCUGAAGCAAAUAGGCGUAAAAAUAAAAAUCGUUUAAAUGGUUUUUAUAUCACAAUUUGAGAAUGUGCAUAUGGUUUUUAUGCCCAUAAUUGGUCAGAAAUGAAAUUUUGAUUUUUUUUUAACUCCAAAAUACUUCAUGACUUGCACCUAACACCAUGAAAAAUGAAAACCAAUGCAGGUUUUCAUGUUUCUGUGAUGGCCAAGUUUAAAACUAUUCAAUUCCAUUUCAAAACUUUCUAAAACUUUCAUAGUUUUAAAGCUCAACUACAUCAUAAAUGGUUUCCAACCAACACGUAAAAGCUUCAAAAGCGUUGAGCUUUGAGUUUGUGCGUAAUGUAUAAAAACAAGUUAGCAAACAGUUAAUCGCAUCAAGCUCUAAUAACGAUUUCGCAAAUGACAUCCAAAUAUCAACAGCAUCAAACAAAUUGCCUGGAGCUCCCAUGAAUUCUCUUAAAAAUACAUCUAAAGCAAAUAAGCAUGAAAAAUUAAAACAGUGCAAACGGUUUUUAUAUCACAAUUUGAAAUUGUGCAGAUUGUUCUUAUGCCCAUAAUUGUUCAGAAAUGAAAUUUUCAUAUUUUCAGCCCCGAAUUCCUUCAUGACCUACACCUAACACCGUGAGAAAUUAAAACCAGUGCUGGCUAUCAUGUUUCUGUGAUUAAGCAAGUUUAAAACUAUUCAUAUCCAUUUAAAAACUUCCUAAAACAACAUUUCAAACUUUUAAAGCUCAACUCCAGUAGAAAUGGAUUCCAAAGCAUCGAGCUUUGAGUUUGCGUGUAAUGUAUAAAAAACAAGUUAACACAUAGUUAAUUGCAUCAAGCGCAAAUAACGACUUCACAAAUAACAUCCAAAUAUCAACAGCAUCCCACAAAUUCCCUGGAGCAGCAAUCAAUUCUCCUAAAAAUGCAUCUAAAGCGAAUAAGCAUGAAAAAUUAAAACCAUGCAAAUGGUUUUUGUAUCACAAUUUGAAAAUGUGCAGAUGGUUUGAAUGCCCGUAAUUGUUUAGAAACGAAAUUUUGAUAUUUUCAGCUCCAAAAUCCUUCAUGACUUAUAUUUAACACUGUGACAAAUUAAAACCAAUGCAAGUUAUCAUAUUUCCGUGUUUGAGCGAGUUUAAAACAAUUAAUUUCCAUUUAAAAACUUGCUAAAACAAUAUUUUAUACUUUUAACGCUCAACUCCAGCAGAAAUGGUUUUCAAACCAAAACAUAAAAGCUUCAAAAAUGUCGAGUGUUGAGUUUGUGCGUCACGUAUAAAAACAAGUUAGCGCAUAGUUAAUCGCAUCAAGUGCAAAUAACGAUUUCACAAAUGACAUCAAAAUACCAACAGCAUUUCCCAAAUUCCCUGGAACACCCAUGAAUUAUCCUAAAAAUGCAUCUAAAGCAAAUAAGAAUGAAAAAUUAAAACCGUGCAAAUGCUCUUUGUAUCACAAUUUCAAAUUGUGCAAAAGGUUUUUUUGCCCAUAAUUGCCACAAACGAAAUUUUGAUAUUUUGAGCUCAAAAAUCCUUCAUGACUUGCACUUAACACCGUGAAAAAUAAAAACCAAUGUGGGUUAUAAUGUUUUUGUGUUUGAGCGAGUUUAAAACUAUUCAUUUCCAUUUAAAAACUUGCUAAAACAACAUCUCAUACUUUAAAGCUCGACUCCAGCAGAAAUGGUUUUCAAAGAAAAAUAUAAAAGCUUCAAAAACGUCGAGCUUUUGAGUUUGUACGUAAGGUAAAAAAGCAAGUUAGUAUAAAGUUAAUCGCAUUAAGCACCAAUAACGAUUUCACAAAUGACAUUCAAAUAUCAACAUGAUCCCACAAAUUCCCCGGGAGCACCCAUGUAUUCUCCAAAAAAUGCAUCUAAAGCAAAUAAGCAUGAAAAAUUAAAAUCGUGCAAAUGGUUUUUAUAUCACAAUUUGAAACUGUGUAGAUGGUUUUUAUGCCCAUAAUUGUUCUGAAAUUAAAUUUUUUUUUUUUAGCUGCAAAAAACUUUAUGACUUGCACCUACCACCGUGAAAUAUGAUAACCAAUGCAGGUUUUCAUGUUUCUAUGUUUGAGCGAGUUUAAGACUAUUCAUUUUCUGUAAAAACUUGCUAAAACAACAUUUCGUACUUUUAAAACUUGACUCCAACAGAAAUGGUUUCCGAAGCAAAACAUAAAAGCUUCAAAAGCAUCAAGCUUUCAGUUUGUGCGUAAUGUAUAAAAACGUGUUAACAUACAGUUAAUCACAUCAACCGCCAAUAACGAUUUCUCAAAUGACAUCCAAAUAUCAACAGCAUCCCACAAAUGCCCUGCAGCACCCAUGAAUUCCCCUAAAAAGGCAGUUGAAAGAAAAAAGCAUGAAAAAUUAAAACCGUGCAAAUGGUUUUUAUAUCACAAUUUGAGAUUGUGCAAAUGGUUUUUAUGCUCAUAAUUGUUCAGAAAUGAAAUUUUGAUAUUUUUAGCUCCAAAAUCUUUCAUGACUUGCACCUAACACCAUGAGAAAUUAAAACCAAUGUAGGUUAUCAUGUUUAUGUGAUUGAGCGAGUUUAAAACUAUUCAUUUUUAUUUAGAAACUUUCUAAAACAACAUUUCACACUUUUAAAGCUCGACUACAGCAUAAAUGGUUUCCAAAGCAAAACAUAAAAGCUUCAAAAUCGUCGACCUUUGAGUUUGUGCAUAAUAUAUAAAAAUGAGUUAAAUCAAGUGCCAAUAACGAUUUCCCAAAUGACAUCCAAAUAUCAACAGCAUCCCAUAAACUCCCUGGAGGACCCAUGAAUUCUCCUAAAAAUACAUCUAAAGCAAAUAAACAUGAAAAAUUAAAACCAUUCAAAUGGUUUUUAUAUCACAAUUUGAAAUUGUGUAGAUGGUUCUUAUCCUAAUAAUUGUUUAGAAAUCAAAUUCUCAUAUUUUCAGCUCCAUAUUCCCUCAUGACUUACACUUAACACCGUGAGAAAUUAAAACCAAUGCAGGUUAUCAUGUUUCUGUGAUUGAGCGAGUUUAAAACAAUUCAUUUUCAUUUAAAAACUUUCAAAAACAACAUUUCAUACUUUUAAAGCUUGGCUACAGCAUAAAUGGUUUCCAAAGCAAACUGUAAAGCUUCAAAUCGUCAAGGUUUGAGUUUGUGCGUUAUCAUGACUUACACUUAACACUGUUAAUAUUUAAAACCAAUGCAGGUUAUCAUGUUUCUUUGUUUGAGUGAGUUUAAAACUAUUAAUUUCCAUUUAAAAACUUGCUAAAACAACAUUUCAUACUUUUAAUGCUCAACUCCAGCAGAAAUGGUUUUCAAGGAAAAAUAUAAAAAAUGUCGAGCUUUGAGUUUGUGCGUAACAUAAAAAAACAAGUUAACACACAAUUAAUCACAUCAAGCGCCAAUAAUGAUUUCACAAAUGACAUCCAAAUAUCAACAACAUCCCACAAAUUCCUGGGAGCACCCAUGAAUUCUCCUAAAAAUGCAUCUAAAGCAAAUAAGCAUGAAAAAUUAAAACUGUGCAAAUGGUUUUUAUAUCACAAUUUGAAAUUGUGCAGAUGGUUUUUAUGCCCAUAAUUGUUCCGAAAUUAAAUUUUGGUUUUUUUGGCUGCAAAAUACUUUAUGACUUGCACCUAACACCGUGAACUAUAAAAACCAAUGCAGGUUAUCAUCUUUCUAUGUUUGAGAGAGUUUAAGACCAUUCAUUUUCAUUUAAAAACUUGCUAAAACAACAUUCCAUACUUUUAAAGCUCGACUCAAGCAAAAAUGGUUUCCGAAGAAAAAAAUAAAAGAUUCAAAAGCGUUGAGCUUUGAGUUUGUGCGUAAUGUAUAAAAACAAGUUAGCAUACAGUUAAUUGCAUCAAGCUCCAAUAACGAUUUCACAAAUGACAUCCAAAUAUCAACAGCAUCCUACAAAUUCCCUGGAGCACCCAUGAAUUCUCCUAAAAAUUCAGCUGAAGCAAAUAAGCAUGAAGAAUUAAAACCGUGCAGGUGGUUUUUGUGCCCAUAAUUGUUCAGAAAUGAAAUUUUGAUAUUUUUAGCUCCAAAAUCGUUCAUGACUUGCACCUAACACCGUGAAAAAUUAAAACCAAUGCAGGUUAUCAUUUUUCUGUGUUUGAGCGAGUUUAAAACUAUUCAUUUCCAUUUAAAAACUUACUAAAACAACAUUUCAUACUUUUAAAGCUCGAAUCCAGCAGAAAAUUGCUUCCAAAGCAGAACAUAAAAGCUUCAAAAGCGUUGAGCUUUGUGUUUGUGCGUAAUGAAUAAAAACAAGUAAGCACACAGUUAAUUGUAUCAAAGUGCCAAUAACGAUUUCACAAAUGACAUCCAAAUAUCAAUAGCAUUGCACAAAUUCCCUGGAGCACCCAUGUAUUCUCCUAAAAAUGCAACUAAAGCAAAUAAGAAUGAAAAAUUAAAAUCGUGCAAAUGGUUUUUAAAUCACAAGUUGAAAUUGUACAUAUGGUUUUUAUGCCCAUAAUUGUUCAGAAAUGAAAUUUUGAUUUUUUUAACUCCAAAAUACUUCAUGACUUGCACCUAACACCAUGAAAAAUGAAAACCAACGGAGGUUAUCAUGUUUCUGUGAUUGAGCGAGUUUAAAACAAUUCAGUUCCCUUUAAAAAUUUUUUAAAACAACAUUUCUUACUUUUAAAGCUUGACUACUGCAUAAAUGGUUUCCAAAGAAAAACAGAAAAGCUUUAAAAGCGUCGAGCUUUGAGUUUAUGCAUAAUGUAUAAAAACAAGUUAGCACACAGUUAAUCACAUCAAGCUCCAAUAAUGAUUUCACAAACGAUAUCAAAAUAUCAACAGCAUCCCACAAAUUCCCUGGUGCACCCAGGAAUUCUCCUAAAAAUACUGCUGAAGUAAAUAAGCAUGAAAAAUUAAAACCGUGCAAACAGUUUUUAUAUCACAAUUUUGAGAUUGUGCAUAUGGUUUUUAUGCCCAUAUUUCGUCAGAAAUGGAAUUUUUGAUUUUUUUUUAACUCCAAAAUACUUCGUGACUUGCACCUAACACCGUGAAAAUUUAAAAUCAAUGCAGGUUUUCAUGUGUCUGUGAUGACCAAGUUUAAAACUAUUUAUUUCCAUUUAAAAAGUUUCUAAAACAACAUUUCAUACUUUUAAAGCUCGACUACAGCAUAAAUAGUUUCCAAACCAACACGUAAAACCUUAAAAAGUGUAGAGCUUUGAGUUUGUGUGUAAUGUAUAAAAACAAGUUAGCACACAGUUAAUUGCAUCAAAUUCCAAUAACGAUUUCACAAAUGACAUCCAAAUAUCACCAGCAUCCCACAAAUUCCCUGGAGCACCCAUGAAUUCUCUUAAAAAUACAUCAAAAGCAAAUAAGCAGGAAAAAUUAAAACCGUGCAAAUGGUUUUUUAUAUCAAAAUUUGAAAUUGUGCAGAUGGUUCUUACGCCCAUAACUGUUCUGAAAUGAAAUUUUCAAAUUUUCAGCUCCAAAUUCCUUCAUGACUUACACUUAACAUUGUGGGAAAUUAAAACCAACGCAGUUUAUCAUGUUUCUGCGACUGAGCGAGUUUAAAACUAUUCAUUCUUAUUUAAAAACUUUGUAAAACAAAAUUUGAUACUUUUAAAGCUCGAGUACAGCAUAAAUGGUUUCCAAAAAAAAACAUAAAAGCUUCAAAAUCGUCCAGCUUUUAGUUUGUGCGUAAUGUAUAAAAACAAGUUAGCACACAGUUAAUCGCAUCAAGCGCCAAUAAUGAUUUCACAAAUAACAUCCAAAUAUCAACAGCAUCCCACAAAUUCACUGGAACACCCAUGAAUUCUCCAAAAAUUUGAGCUGAUGCAAAUAAGCAAGAAAAAUUAAAACCGUACAAAUGGUUUUUACAUCACAAUUUGAGAUCGUGCGGAUGGUUUUUAUGCCCAUAAAUGUUUAGAAAUGAAAUUUUGAUUUUUUUAACUCCAAAAUACUUCAUGACUUGCACCUAACCCAUGGAAAAUGAAAACCAAUGCAAGUUAUCAUGUUUCUGUGAUUGAGCGAGUUUAAAACUAUUCAGUUCUAUUUAAAAACUUCCCAAAACAACAUUUCAUACUUUUAAAGCUUGAAUACAGCAUAAAUGGUUUCCAAACCAAAACGUGAAAGCUUCAAAAGUGUCGAGCUUUUAGUUUGUGCGUAAUGUAUAAAAACAAGUUAAAGCAAAUAAGCAUGAAAAAUUAAAGCUGUGCAAAUGAUUUUUAUAUCACAAUUUGAGAUUGUGCAUAUGGUUUUUAUGCUCAUAAUUGGUCAGAAAUGAAAUACUUCAUUACUUGCACCCAACCCAUGGAAAAUGAAAACCAAUGCAAGUUAUCAUGUUUCUGUGAUUGAACAAGUUUAAACUAUUCAGUUCUAUUUAAAAACUUUCCAAAACAACAUUUCAUACUUUUAAAGCUCGACUACAACAUAAAUGGUUUCCAAACCAAAAGGUAAAAGCUUCAAAAGUGUCGAGCUUUGAGUUUGUGCGUAAUGUAUAAAAACAAGUUAGUGCACAGUUAAUCACAUCAAGCACCAACAAUGAUUUCACAAAUGACGUCCAAAUAUCAACAGCAUCCCGCAAAUUUCCUGGAGCACCCAUGAAUUCUCCUAAAAAUUCUGCUGAAGCAAAUAAGAAUGAAAAAUUAAAACCAUGCAAAUGGUUUUUAUAUCACAAUUUGAGAUUGUGCAGAUAGUUUUUAUGCCCAUAAUUGGUCAGAAAUGAAAAUUUCAAAGCAAAAUAGAAAAGCUUUUAACUCCAAAAUACUUCAUGACUUGCACCUAAGACCGUGAAAAAUUAAAAUCAACGCAGGUUUUCAUGUUUCUGUGAUGACCGAGUUUAAAACUAUUCAUUUCCAUUUAAAAACUUUCUAAAAUAAUAUUUCAUACUUUUAAAGCUCGACUACAGCAUAAAUGGUUUCCAAACCAACAUGUAAAAGCUUCAAAAAAGUCGAGCUUUGAGUAUGUGCGUAAUGUAUAAAAACAAGUUAGCGCAUGGUUAAUCACAUCAAGCUCCAACAAUGAUUUCACAAAUGACGUCCAAAUAUCAACAGCAUCCCACAAAUUCCCUGGAGCACCCAUGAAUUCUCCUAAAAAUUUUGCUGACGCAAAUAAGAAUGAAAAAUUAAAACCAUGCAAAUGGUUUUUAUAUCACAAUUUGAGAUUGUGCAGAUAGUUUUUAUGCCCAUAAUUGGUGAGAAAUGAAAAUUUCAAAGCUUUAAAGCACACAGUUAAUCGCAUCAAGCGCCAAUAACGAUUUCGCAAAUGACAUCUAAAUAUCAACAGCAUCCCACAAAUUCCCUGGAGCACCCAUGAAUUCCCUUAAAAAUGCAUCUAAAGCAAAUAAGCAUGAAAUAUUAAAAACGUUCAAAUGGUUUUUAUAUCACAAUUUGAAAUUGUGCAGAUGGUUUUUAUGCCAUAAUUGUUCAGAAAUGAAAUUUUGAUAUUUUUAGCUCUAAAAUCCUUCAUGUCUUACCAUUAACACCGUGAAAAAUAAAAACCAAUGUAGGUUAACAUGUUUCAGUGUUUGAGCAAGUUUAAAACGUUGGGUUGAAGAUAUUGAUUUCCAUUUAAAAGCCUGCUAAAACAACAUUUCAUACUUUUGGAGCUCGAUUCCAGCAAAUGGUUAAUCACAACAAGCUCCAACAAUGAUUUCACAAAUGACGUCCAAAUAUCAACAGCAUCCCACAAAUUCCCUGGAGCACCCAUGAAUUCUCCCAAAAAUUCUGCUGACGCAAAUAAGAAUGAAAAAUUAAAAUCAUGCAAAUGAUUUUUAUAUCACAAUUUGAGAUUGUGCAGAUAGUUUUUAUGCCCAUAAUUGGUCAGAAAUGAAAAUUUCAAAGCAAAAUAGAAAAGCUUUAAAGCACACAAUUAAUCGCAUUAAGUGCCAAUAAUGAUUUCACAAAUGACAUCCAAGUAUCAACAGCAUCCCACAAUUUCCCUGGAGCACCCAUGAAUUCUCCUAAAAAUGCAUCUAAAGCAAAUAAGCAUAAAAAAUUAAAACCUUACAAAUGGUUUUAUAUCACAAUUUGAAAUUGUGCAGAUGAUUUUUAUGCCCAUAAUUGUUCAGAAAGGAAAUUUUGAUAUUUUGAGCGCCAAAAUCCUUCAUGACUUACACUUAAUACCGGGAAAAACUAAAACCAAUGCGAGUUAUCAUGUUCCUCUAUUUGAGUGAGUUUAAAACAUUGGAUUCAAUGUAUUCAUUUCCAUUUAAAAACUUGCUAAAACAACAUUUCAUACUUUUAAAGCUCUACUCUAGCAGAAAUGGUUUUCAAAGCAAAAUAUAAAAGCUUCAAAAACAUUGAGCUUUGAGUUUGUGCAUAAGGUACAGAAACAAGUUAGCACAUAGUUAAUCGCAUCAAGCGCCAAUAACGAUUUCACAAAUGACAUCCAAGUAUCAACAACCUCCAACAAAUUCCCUUGAGCACCCAUGAAUUCUCCUAAAAAUGCAUCUAAAGCAAAUAUAAUAUUUAUACUAAUUAUAAUAACAAUUAGAUUAUUAUAAAUAAUAAUCCUAUAAACUAUUUAGUUUAUAAACUAUUUUGUUAUUAUGAUUAUAUUAAUUUAUUUAUAUUAUUUAGAAUAUUAUUUAUUUAAAUAAUAUUAAAUUAUUUAUAUAGGCUUAUGUGAAUUAUUGAUUUUUUGUAAGCAAUUAUUUAUAUUAAUUAUUAUUCUAAUUUAUUUUAUAAGGAUUUUAAUAAAUAUUAAAUUAUUUAUUUAAUUAUAUAAUUUAGUAUAAUUAUACAUAAAUUAAAUUUUUACUAGUUAAUAAUUUAUUAUUAAUAAUAAUACUAAUUUAUUACCUUUUGUUUAAAAUUUAAUAUUAUAUUUAAUCUAUUUCUAUCUUAAAUUAAAAUAUUAUUUAAGAUAAAUUAAAUAAUUUAAAGAAUUAAAUUUAUAUUUAUAUUUAAAGUAAAUAUUUAAUUAUCUAUUAAUAUAUUACUAAUAUAUAUUUAAAUUUUUAAAUUUUAAUAUAUAUCAAUAUCUAUUAAAUUAAAAAUAUUUAAUUAAUUAUUUCUAUUUGUUAAAUAUAAAUAAAAGAGUCAUUUUAUUUAUAUUAAUUAACGUUUAAUAUUUAAUUAAUAUUAAUUAAUUAAUUAAUUAUAAUAAUAAAAUAGAAAUUAAUAAUUAAUAUUUUUAACAAUAUUUAAAAUAAUUUGUUAUUUUAUUUAUAAAGAUAUAAAGAAAUAACUUUAUAUUAAUUUAUAAAGUUAAAUAUUAACAAUCAUUAUAACAUUAUUAUUUCAUUAUAAUUAAAUAAAAUUAAUAAUAUAAUAAAUAGAUUAAUUUAAACAAAAUAUUAAUUAAUAUAUGUUAAAAUAAUAAAAGAUUUGUUAGCUUUAUAGGUUAGAUGGUGAUCCAAGAGGGGGGGUGAAUUGGAUCUCUCCAAAUUCUUCUCAAAUAAUGAUUUCAAUAUAGUUAAUGAAAAUUAAGACAAUAAGCUCUUUUGAUGAAAAUAUAAUGAAGGCAAUAACAAUCAAUGAACUUAAAAUCAAAUACGUCUAACAAUAAAUUAUAAGGAAACAGGGAUAGAGAAAUCAAACACAAUAAUUUAUAAAGGUUCGAUCAUUCUCCACAAGGCACAUAUGUCCUCUCUCUUGGUAGUUCACACCAAGGCAUAAAUCCACUAUGUGUUGAAGAUUACAAACAAGCUUCUCCAAGCUUUACAAACUCAACACAAUACACUCUUAAGGGUUAUCCUCCCCCUUAAACUUACAAUCACACAAUACAAAUUUUUAAGUGUUUGGCAAACUCUAAGAACCUCUCAAAGGUUGGGUGUUUGCUAAUUUGAAGUACACAAAGGUAUAGACAAGACAAAGAUGAAUGAAUAACAAAAAGAUAAUUUGGAUACAAUGAAUGCAAGGAUAUAGACUUUGAAGCUCUAAGAACUCUUGAUUAUUUGAGAAAAAGAAAAUAUUACUUAUUAGCUCUUGUUCUCUUGAUUCAUCUUGAUUCCUCUUAUUUCUUCUUGCUUCUUGGUGUAUUGGAGUGCCCAAUUUAUAGAGAAAUUGAGAAACUAUCCAUUGGGGAAGCUUGGAGUGAAGAAAUGCCCGUUGAAAUGAUGAAAAAGUAGCCAUUGGAGGUCUUCACGCCUAGAACUGAUCGAUCCCUUCUUGAGGGGAUCGAUUGGUUCAUGUUGGUUCAAGCAUAAUUUUGUCCUUGAAAAGCCUUACCCAAUCAAUCCCCUAUGUGGGGGGAUCGAUCUCUUUUCCGGAUUUUCAGCUUGGAAGGGGCAUUCUGUUUGAGGAAGCAAUUGAUCCCUUCUAGAGGGGAUCGAUCCUGUCCAAGCUGGUGGUUGUUUCUUGUUCUGUACUCUACUCACUAAUUUGAUCGUAACUUGAGUUAUACAAAUUCAAAUCACAAAACUGUUUUAAGAUUUAGAAAGUAGACUCAAAGAGCUUUCCAACCAUAUAAAAUUCAAGUAUUAAAGCCUUGUGAAUUUAUGCAAAAAAAUAAAAUAAGUUCAAUGUUGGAAAACUUUGUUCUUGUAAAAACAACUUUCCUAACUUAAUCUAUUUCCCAAAACCAAUAUUAUUAAAAUUGUAUUAAGUCCAAAAUGAAUAAGUUCACUUUAAAAACAACAAUUGGACUUUCAUUUAAGCUCAAAUAAAUAAUCUUUAAAAGUAGAUUUGAUUUAAGAAAUAUGACACCAAGAAAGGUUUGUUUAAACUUUGAAAAUCAUAUUAUUUAUUUAGUACCAAAAUAUAAAACUUAAGAACAAGUACUAAAUAAAUCUUUUUCAAAAUCUUGAUCAAGUUUAUAUAGCUUUAAUGUUUUAUCAUUUCAAAAUAAUGAUCAAUUCAAGGCUAACAAGAUUUAUUAUCUUUUAAAUCUUAUCAAAUAACAUAAUUUAUUAAUAGCAUUCCAAAAAAUAAUUGUAUAAUUAUUAUAUUUAUUUGUAUUUAUUUAAGAUAUUUUAGUAUUAUUUUUAUUUAAAUAAUACUUAUAUUAGAAAAAUUAAUAUUUUGUUAAAAUUCAAAAUUUUAAUUUAUUUUAAUAACCAAGAUCAUUCAGAAUAAAAAUUAAUAAGUUAUUAAAUAUAAUAAUAAUUGAAUAUUUUAUUUCAAUUGAAUAUAUCUAUUUAUAGGAUAUAUAAUUAAUUAAUCAUAAUUCAAAUAUUAUGAAUAAGUUAUUAAUUUGGCUUAUCCUUGUUUUUGAUGAUUUGCUUAUUAUAAGUUAUAUUAUUAUAUUUUUAUAAAUAUAAGAUUAAUUUAAUUUAUCAUAAUUAAAUAUAAUAUUAUUUAAUUAUUUAAUUAUUAAAUAAUAAUUAAUUAAAUUAGUAUUAAGUUACUAUAUAAUAAGAGAUUUAAAUAUUUAAAUUAUAAUAAUUAUAUAUAAAUUUAUUUAAUUGUUUAGAAAUAAUUAUUAAAUUAUUAAUUAAUUUAUUAACAAGUUAUUUAAUAAUUAAUAUUAAUACUUAAAUUAUAUUAAUAUUAAUAUAAUUUUAAUAAUUCAUAACAAUUAAUAUUAUAAUUAAAUAUUAAUAUUAUUUACUUAUAAAUUUAUAAUUAUAAUAUUAAUAAUUUGUUAAUAAUAAUUAUAAUACUAUUAAUAAUAUAUUAUAAAAAAUAAUAUUAUAAUAUAAUAAUUAUAUUAAAAUAAUUUAAAACCUAUAAUGUUUAGUUAAUAUUUAUGAAAUAAUUACUAAAUAAUAUAAUUAUUAUUAUUUUAUAGUAUUAAAUUACAUUAUCAGUUAUUUAUUUAGUGUUAAUAUUAAUAUAUUAUAAAUAAUUUUAAAUUAAUUAAAAAUAUUAAAUUAUUUUUAAUAAUUUACUCAAUUAUUUUAUUAAUUUAAUAAACUCAAUUAAAUAUUAACUAAUAUUUUAGUAAUAAUAAUUAACAUAAUUAUUAAUAUAUAAAGGUAAUAUUAUAUUUUAUAACAAUUAAUAUUUUAGUAAUUUAAUAUCAUAAUAUUUUUAAUUAAUUUUUUUAAUAAUGAUAAUUAUUAUGUUAAUCAUAAUUAAUAUUAAUAUAAUUUAUUAAUUUUAAAUUUGUUUAAUUAAUAAUAACUAUUAGUUUACUGAUAAUAAAUUAGAGAAUAAUAUUUUAAUAACAUUUGAAAUCUAAGAUAAUUAAUAAUAUUAAUUAUAAUAAUAAUUAAAUAAAUUAUAUUAAUAUAAUUAUUUAUUGAAUAGAUUAUAAUUUGUAUAUUAUUUUAUUAUCUAAUUUAUUAUAAAAUAGAUAUAAUUUGACUUUUUGUUUAAUUAAAUUCUUAUUAUUAUAUUAAUAAUUUUAGUUAUAUUAAAUAAAAAGUAUAAUAUAAUUAAUUAUUAUUAUUAUUAUUAUAUAUAAUAAUUUAUUAUAAAUUAUAAAUUUAUAUUAAUAGUUUAAUAAUUAUAACUUUAUGUUUAAAUAUCAUAUAUAAUAUUUUAUUAUUAUUAUAUAAUAAUUAUAUAAAUUGAUUAUUAUAUAAAUUAAUUAUAUUAUUAAUUUAAAAUAUACUAAUUAAAUAACUUAAUUAAUUGGUUAUUAUUAUAUAUAUCAUUAAAUAGUAAGUGAUAAUUGGUUAUUAUUCAUAACAAUUGUUCUUCUUCAUGCAAAAUUAUUUAGAAUAAAAUAGUACUAAACAGAUUUAUAAUAUUGUAAUUUGUUAUUACUAUUAAUAAUUAAUAAAUUAAUUUGUUUUAUCAUAAUAAUUAAUAACUAUUUGAUUAUACUUAUAAAAAUAAAGUAUAAUUUUUAAUAAUAAAUAGUAUAGAUAAUUUAUAAAAUAAUAUUAAAAUUUGAUAAACUGAUUUAUUUUUUAAAUCUCUAACUUCUUAAUUUUUGAAAUAUUAAUAAAGUAAUAUUAUUUUGUUUUGGAUAGGCUUUUAUGAACUAAAACAAUUGUUUUAUGAUAUAGCAAAUAAACUCUAUUAAUUAUAAUAAAAUAAUUUUAUUAAAAAUAUUGUAAAUGAUAUUACAAAGGAAUUAUUAGAUUAAUUAGAUUUAAUAAUUAAUAAUUUAAUUAUAGUUAAUAUAAUUUAAUUAUUAUAUUAGUUUAAUAAUCUCUAUAACUUAUUUAAUAUUUUAAAUAUUAAAAUAAUUUUAAUAAUAAUUAAUUUAAAUGGGUUAUACAUUUAAUAAUAAUCAUUAAUAUAUUCUAAUACAUAUAUAUCUUAAUAUAGAUAUUAUAAUAAUUAUAAUAAUUAAUAAAACAAAUUUUAUAUAUUAUUAGAUUUAUAAUAUAUAAUUAAUCUAAUUAGAUAAUCUAAUUAGAUAAGUUAUUAUUUUGUUAAUAAUAAAACUAUUAUUAUCAACUAUAAUAGAUUUAAUUAGUGAAUAUUAAUAAACUUGUAUAAUUAUUAAUAGUUUUAUGAUUAAGUAAUGGAACUGAUUAUUAUAAUAACAUAUAAAUAAAUAUAAUACUAUUUACUAGUGUUAAUAAAAUUAUUAAAUAUUAUGAAUCCUAUAUAAUAAUUUUACAUUAAAAUUAAUAUAAUCUAGUUAAUUAUAUAAUCAAAAUAAUUUUAAAUAAUUAUUAUUUAUUUAUAAUUAAUUAUAUAUUAAUAUAUUAAAAAAUAUUAAAUUCUAAAUAUUAAUAAGAUUUAAAUUUGUUAUAUAUAUUUAUAAUUAAUAUAUAAUUUAUUUAAAAUUAAUAAUUUUAAAUAUGAAUAUAAUUAAUAAAUAUUCCACAAAUCUAAAAAUAACUAUAUUUAAUUUAAUAAAAUAAUUAAUAUAAUGUUAAUUUAUUUAAAACUAAAUUUUAAAUUCAUUAUUAUUUAUUAUGUUAGUUAAUAUAAUAUUUAAAAUAUUAAUGAAUAUUUAUAAAAUUAUGAUAAAUAAUUAAGUAUUGUUAAUUAUUUAGAUUAAUAUUUAAAAAUAUUAAAUUAUUAUAAUUACAAUAUAUAAAUUAUAGCAUUGUAAUUAUUUUAAAUUAACAAGUAUAAUUAACUAAUUAUAUUAAUAAUUACUACAAAAUAAUAUAACUAAUUAUAAAACUAUAUAAUAAAUUAGUUUGUCUUUAUAUUAUUUAUUAUAUUAUAAUAAUAAUAUAAUAAUUAUAAUAUAUUUGAAUUAAUAUAUAAUUUAAUAAUAUAGUUAAUAUUAUAUAUAAAAAUUUUAAUAUAAUAAUUAUAUUAAUUAUAUUAUUAUAUAAUAAAUAUAAUCUAAAAUAAUUAAUAGAUAUAUAAAUUCUUUUUUGUAUAUAAUAUAAAAAAUUUUAAAUAAAUAAUUAGUAUAAAAAAUUAUUGCAAAUAUAAUGAUAUUUUACAACUAUAUUUUUCAUAUUAUAAAUUGUAUGAAAAAUAUCUUAAAUUUUUAUAAUUUAAAUUUUAAAUUCCUUAUUCUAAAAAUUAGAAUAAUAUUCCUUAUCAAGAUUUUUUUAUUAGUUUAAAAAAAUGCUUUUUCUAAUUAUUCAUACAAGCUUAACAAAAGAUCAGAAUGAUUUGAAAUAGAUAAUUAUUCUAAUAGUCUUAACCAUUUAAAUUGAUUUAGUAAACAAAUUUUAUUUUUUAAAUCUCCUAUUUUGUGAUAUUAUUAAAUUAGUAUUAUUUUAAUCUGAAUAAGCUUGUACUGAUAAAACAAUUGUUUUAUAAUAAAAUUAGUAAGUAGAGUGCAAAACAAGAGACAACCACUUAGCCAUUGAUAAGAUCAAUCCCCUCACGGAAGGGAUUGAUCAAGUCGUGUUUUUUAAGCAUGAAUGGCAUAAAACUUGAAGCAGUCAACCCCCUCAAGGAAAGGAUCAAUAGGGUCUAGGCAUAAUCACACCAAUGGAUAUUUUUUCAUUCUUUCAACGGCUAUUUUCUUCUCCCAAGCAUCCCCAAUGGCUACUCCAACACACCAAGAAGAUUGAUGAAUCAAUAGAGGAAGAGUCAAUAAGCCAUAUUUUCAUUCUCUUAAAGAAUCAAGAGUUUUUAGAGCUUUAAAGUCCAUAUCUUUGUAUUUAUUGUAUCCAAAUUAUAUUUGUUGUUCAUUCAUCAUUUUCUUGUACUUAAACUUAGCAAACACUUAGCCUUAGAGAGGUUGUUUAAUUGUUUGCAAAAUUACCUUUGAUAUACAAAGGUGGAAGACAACAAGAGGUGAGGUAUCCUCUUGAUAUUGUAAGGGUAGAUGUUGCUAUCUAAGCUUUGAGAAAAAAAUGAAGAUUUAGUACAAGAUAGGCUUGUAUCUUGUAAGAAUUUUUCUUCAAUUAGUGGAUUGAAGCUUUUGUGUGGACAACCAAGAGAAGAUGUAAGUACCUUGUGAAGAAGGACAGAACCUCUAUAAAUCAUUGUGUUUGAUUUCUCUAUCCCUAUCUCUUUACAAUUUAUUAUUACUUAUAUUUGAUUUUAGACUCAUUAAUUGUUAUUGUCAGUAUUAUAUUUUCAUCAAAAGAGCUUAUUAUUUUAAUUUUCAUUCAAUUAUAUUGAAAUCAUUUAUUUGGAAAGAAUUUGAAGAAAUCCAAUUCACCCCCCUCUUAGAUCACCAUCUCACCUAAAAAGCUAACAAUAUUACUUAAACUAAUAAAAUAUUUAUAAUAAUUAUUUAAUAUUAAUUAUUUAUAAAUUUAUUGUGUCUUAACAAUAAAUUAAUUUGAACAUUUAAAUAUAAUCAAUAAGAGAUUUAAAAAGUAAAUCUGCUUACCAAAUCAUUUCAAAUAGUUUUGACUAUUUGAAUAAUUAUCUAUUUUAAAUCAUUAUAACCUUUGUAUUUUGUCAUCAAAUAAUUUGUUCUAUUUAUACUAUUUUAUUCGAAAUAAAAUAAUGCAAAUUUAAAAUAUUUAAAAACUUAAUAACCAAAUUUUUUUUUUAAAAAAAAAUCUAAACCAAUUCAAAUAGUUAAAACUAUAUAAAUGAUUAUCUAUUUCAAAUUGUUAUGUGCUUUUCUUUUGGCAUAAAACAAUUCUUUUGUUUGUACAAGCUUAUUCAUAUUAACAUAAUACUAAUUUCAUAAUAUUUAAAAAAUAAAUUUAUCUAUCGAAUCAUUUCAAAUGGUUAAGACUAUUAUAAUAAUUAUAUACUUCAAAUCGUUUUAACCAUUUUUUAGUCAUAAAACAAUUGUUUCAAUUCAUACGAGCUUAUUCAAAAUAAAUUAAUACUAAUUUAUUAACAUUUAAAAAAUUAAUAAGAAAAGAUUCAAAAAAUAAAUCUGAUUGUCGAACAAGUUCAAAUUGUUAUUAUUAUUUGAACAAUUGUCUAUUUAAAAAUCUUAUAACCUUUUAAUUUGUCAUAAAACAAUUGUUUUAAUUAAUAUAAGCUUAGAUGGAAUAAAAUAAUACUAAUUUAUUAAUAUUUCCUAAAUUAAUAAGAAAUUUAAAAAAUAAUUACGACCAUUUGAAUAAUUAUCUAUUUCAAAUCACUAUGACCUUUUUAUUUUGUCAUAAUACAAUUGUUUUUUAUCAUACAAGCUUAUUUGAAAUAAAAUAAUACUAAUUGAUUAAUAUUUCAAAAAUAAUAGGUAACAGAUUUAAAACAAUAAAUUUGUUUACCAAACCAGUUCAAAUAGUUAUGACUAUUUGAACAAUUAUCAAUCUCAACAUAAAACAAUUGUUUCUAAUCAUAGAAGCCUAUUCGGUUAAAAAUAAUAUUAAUUUAAUAAUAUUUCAAAAAUUAAUAAGGGAUUUAAAAAUUAAAUAUAUUUGCUAAACCGGUUCAAAUAGUAAAAACAAUUAGAAUAAUUAUCUAUUUCAAAUGGUUCAAACCUUUUGUUUAGUCAUAAAAUAUUUGUUUCAUGUCUUAUAAGCUGAUUUGGAAUAAAAUAAUCUAAAUUUAUGAACAUUUGGAGAAUUAAUAAGCAAAAGAUUUGAAAAAAUAAAUUUGUUUACCAAACAAGUUUAAAAAGUUAUGACUAUUUGAUCAAUUAUUUUUAUAAAAUUAUUAUGACCUUUUGUUUUGACAUAAAACAACAAUUGUUUCAAUUCAUAAAAGCUUAUCCAAAAUAAAAAGAAUUUAAUAAGCAAGAGUUUAAAAAAAUAAAUUUGUUUAUCGAGCAAAUUCAGAUAGUUAUAGCUAUUUGAAUAAUUAUUUAUUUCAAAUCGUUAUGAUCUUUUGUUUUGUCAUAAAAUAAUUUUUUUUAUUUGAGAUAGUAAAUAAAUUAAUUUAGAUAAUAAUUAACAAUAAAUUAUUAUUGAAUUGAAACAAUUAUUUUAUGAUAAAACAAAAAGUGAUAAUGAUUUUAAAUAGAUAAUUGUUCAAAUAGUUUAAGCUUAUUCAAUAAACAUUUAUUUUUUAAAAUUUCUUGCUUAUUAAUUUUUUGAAUGUUAAUAAAAUUAUAUUAUAUUAUUUCAAAUUAGCUUGUAUGUACUAAAAAAAUUUUAAGAAUCAUUAAUUAAUAAUUGUAUUAAUAAUUAACAAUAUUAUUAAUGGCUAUUGAAUAAAUUAUUAAUAGUAUUAAUAAUAUUAUAUUAAUAUUAAUAAUAUAUUUAAUAAUCCAAUUAAAAUUUAACAUAUAUUAAUUUUCUAUUAUAAUUAUAUAAAUAUUAAUAAUUAAUUAUAAUUAAUAAGGAUUAUAAUUAAUACAAAUAAAUCUUUUAUUAAUACACAAUUAUUUGAAUUAUCAUACAAUUAACAAAUAUUAAAAAAUAAUUGUGACCAUUUGAACAUUUAAAUAUUAGUUAUUUAAAUGUAUAAAUUAUUAUUUAAUAAAGAUUAAAAUAUUAAUUAUAAUUAUUAAAUGAAUUAUAAUAGAUUAAAAUUAGUAUUGUAAUAAUAAUUAAAAUUAUCCUAAAAAUUUCAAAAAUGAAGAAAAAAUGACAAAAUCAAUCUUUAAUUUAUGAUUUAAAACUUAAUUUGAAUUUGAAAGUUUAGAUGCAACAUAUUUUAAUUUGAAUUGAAAAUUUAAUUUUUAAAUCGUUAAAAAUGUAAAAAUAAAUAUACAUGAGUAAAUAGUGAUAGAUAUAACAAUUCCAAACUAGUGUUAUUAUAUGUAAGCCAAUAAAAUUCAAAAAAAAAAUAACAAAGAUAAUUAUUAUCUCUUAACAAAUUGUAUUAAAUAAAAGAUAAAUAUUAUACAAUCCAAAAAUUGCAAAUAAAAUAAUAAGUAAUAAAUAAAAUAAUUCAAAUUGUAUUAAAUAUUAUACAAGAUAAUUUUGUUAAUUAGAUAAACUACACGAUAAAUAAAAACAAUUUUCAAGAUAAAAUACAAGAUGAUGUUAAUUAGAUAUCAAAUUAGUAUACAUGCACAUAACACCUUCCAUUUCUAAUGACUAAUAAAAAUUUCAACAAUGAAAAAAUGACAAAAUAGAAAAAAUUUAGUUUAUAAAAUACAACCAAAAAAUAAAAAAUAUAACAAAUAAUAAGAUAUAAAUAUAUAAAAAAUCAAAGAUCAAAAAUUAAAAGAAGAUCAAAAAUGAAAAGGGAUGACAAAGUAGAAAAAAAAAUUAAUUUAAAAAAUACAAGCAAAAAAAUGUAAAAAAAAAAAUAAAAAUAUCAAAGAUAGAAAAAUUAACAGAAAGAAAAAGUUAAUACAAAAUAAAAAUUUAAAAAAAAAAAACAAGUGUUAAAAAAAAAGGAAACAAGAAACAAAAAUAAUUUUGUGAAAAAAAUUAGAAAAACAAGAAAAAAUAAAAACUAAAGAAGCAAAAAUAUGAAAAAGUUUUAUAGAAAAUUUUAAAACAAAGAAAAAAGUGAAAACAAAAAAAAAUUUAAAAGGAAAAAAGUUAAUAAAAAAUUAUAAAAAUACAAUAGAAAAUAACUAACAACGAUAAAUAAAAAAAAAGAAAAAAACGACAAAAAAUUAAAAAAUUCAAAACAUUAUAAAAAUUUAUAAAAAUAUAAAUAAUGAAAGAAAUAAAAAAUAAAAAUAAAAUAAGAAAAAAAUAUUAAAGCAAAACAAAAAAGAUAAAUAAAGUUCAAAAAAAAAUUGAAUAAAAAUUUCAAAAAUGAAAUGGAAUGACAAAAUAGAAAAAAAUAUUUUAAAAAGUAUAAAAAAUUGAAAAACAUAUAAGAAAUAAUAAUAAAACAAUAUAAAAAAUCAAAGACAAAAAAUUAAGAAAGAGAAAAGCUAAUGCAAAAUAAAAAUGAAAACCAAAGACAAAAAUGCAAAAAAAAAGUAUAAGAAUUUAAAAACGCAAAUAAGAAAUAAAAAGAAUUUGUGAAAAAAUUAAGAAAAGAAUAAAAAUGAAAAGACAAAAGAUUUGAAAUAAAAAAAGAAAAGAAGAAUAUAAAAAAUUUUAAAACAACAAAAUUUAAAACAAAUAAAAAUGAAAGCAUAUGAAAAAAAAAGUAAAAAGAAAAAAAUUUUGAAGAAAAAAAGUUAUUGAAAAAUUAUAAAAUAAAGAAAAAAUACUAAAAAAAAAGACAAAAUAAGAAAGAAUCAAAAAAUAAGAAUAAAAAAAUUUUGAACUUUAUAAAAUUUUUUUAAAUAUAAAUAAAAAAUAAAAGAAAAAUAAAAUAAAAUAAAAUACUAAAAAAAUAAAAAAGUAAGAAACUAAAAAUUAGAGAAUAAAAAAUUAAUAAAAAGACAACUAAUGAAAAUUUAAAAUAUAAAAUAAAAAAAUAUUUUAGUUUAGAAUAUACAAAGAAAAACAAAAAAAAUGAAGAGGCAAAAAUAUGAAAUAAAACAAAAAGAAAAAAAAAGUUUAUAGAAAAGAAUAUACAAAGAAAAAGUGCAAACAAAAAAAUUAUGAAAGCACACUGAAAAAUAUGUAAAGAAAACGAAAAAAAUUAAAAGUAAAAAAAGUUAAUGAAAAAUUAAAAAAUGUAAUAGAAAAUAACCAACAAUAAUAAUUAAAAAUAAUAAAAAAUCCAAAACAUUAUAAAAAUUUUUGAAAAUAUAAAUGAAAAAGAAAUAAAUUAAACCGAAAUAAAAAUAAAAUAAGAAAAAAUAUUAAAGCAAAAGAAAAAAGAUAAAUAAAGUACAAAAAUAUAAUAAAAAUAUAAAAAGUAAGAAAAUAAAAAAUAAUGAAUCAAAAAUAAAAAAUAAAAGAAGACAAAAAUUGAAUAAAAAUGUGAAAAUUGAAAAGGAAUUACAAAAUGAAAAAAAAAUAGUUCAAAAAAUACAAAAAAAUUGAACAACAUAUAAGACAUAAUAAGAAAACAAUAUAAAAAAUCAAAGAAAAAAAACCGAAAAAGAGAAAAGUUAAUUCAAAAUAAAAAUGAAAACCAAAGAAGAAAAUGCAAAAAAAAAAAAAAAAUACAAGAAAAAAGAAUAAAAAUAAAAAGACAAAACAAGAUUUGAAAUAAAAACAGAAUAUAAAAAAAUUUAAAACAAUGAAAAAAUUAAAACAAACAAAAAAUGAAAGCAUAUGAAAAAAAUAAGCAAGAAAAAAAUUUUUGAAGGAAAAAAGUUACUGAAAAAUUAUAAAAUAGAACAAAAAAUAGGAAAAAAAAAGACAAUAAGAAAAUAAAAUAAAAAAGAUUCACAAUAAAAAUAAAAAAUUUUUGAAGUUUAUACAAAUUUUUUAAAAUAUAAAUAAAAAAUAAAAUAAACACUAAAAAAAUAACAAUUAAGAAUAAACAAAAACAAAAAAUAAAAAAGUACAAAAAUAAAAAAUUAAAGAAUAAAAAAGAUAUAAAAAGACAAAAUGAAUAAAAAUUUGAAAUAUAAAAUAUAAAAAACUUUUAGUUUAGAAUAUACAAAGAAAAACAAAAAAACAAGAAAACAUUGCAAAGUCAAAGCCAAAAAUUAAAAAAGAAAAAGGUUAUUGCAAAAUAAAAAUAAAAAUCAAAGGAGAAAAUGAAAAAAAAAGUAUGAGAAUUUAAAAAUGCAAAUAAGAAAUAAAUAGAAAUUUGUGAAAAAAAUAAGAAAAGCAAGAAUAGAAUAACAAUGAAAAGACAAGAUUUGAAAUAAAAAAGAAAAAAAAAAGUAAAAAAUAUUAAAAGAAUGAAAUAAUGAAAACAUAUAAAAAUGUAAGCAUGUGAAAAAAAAAAGCAAAAAGAAAGAAAAUUUUGAAGGAAAAAAGUUGUUGAAAAAUUAUAAAAUAGAACAAAAAAUACAAAAAAAAAAGACAAUAAGAAAAUGAAAAAAUUAAAAUGAUUCAAAAAAUUAAAAAAAAAUUUUAACUUUAUAAAUUUUUUAAAAUAUAAAUAAAAAAUAAACGAAAAAAUAAAUUAAGUAAAAAUAAAAUAAAAUAGUAAAAAAAGAAAAAAAAAAGGAAGAAUAUAAAAAUUUAGCUAAUAAAAAAAGAUAAAAAGACAAGAUGAAGAAAAUUUUCAAAUAUAAAAUAGAAAAAAGUUUUAUUUUAGAAUAUACAAAGAAAAACAAAAAAAAAUUUAACAAAUAUAAAAAAGACAAAAAAACAAAGAUAAAAAAUAAAAUAAAAAAUCAAUAUAAAAUAUAAAUAAAAACAAAAAAAAGUACACAAAAAAAGAAGUCUUGAGAUUUUGUAAUUGUAAAGAACAAAUAAAAAAAUGUGAACAAAAAUAUAAGAAAAAGCAAGAAAAAAAUAAAAAAAAUGAAAAUACAAAAUAUAUAUAAAAAUUAAAACAAAAAAAAAUGAAAGCAAAUGAACAAAUAAGCUAAAAGAAAAAAAGAAUUACUAAAGAAUUAUAAAAAUAGUAUAGAAAGUACCAAAAAAAUAAAAAAAAUGACAACAAAAAUGAGACAGACCAAAAGAAAAAAAGAUUAAAAAAUAAAGUAAAUAUCCAUAACAUUAUAAAUUUUUUGUAAAAAAUAACAAAAAUUAACAAUAAAAAAUAAAAGAAAAAAAAUAAGAGAAAGUAUUAAAGCAAAAGAAAAAAGAUAAAAAUAAAUAAAUAAAACACAAACUAAAAAAAUAAAGAAGGAAAUGAAAAAAAAAUGUCAAAAUUUUUUUUAAAAAAUACAAAAACUAAUAAAAAUGAGAAAAAUGACAAAAUAGAAAAAACUUUAGUUUAUAAAAUACAAACAAAAAAUAAGAUAUAAAGAUAUAAAAAAACUAAAAGAAGAAAAAGUUAAAACAACAAAAAAUAAAAAUAAAAGAAGGAAGUGUGGGAAAAAAAAAAACACAAACUAGAAAAAAAUGCAAAAAAAAAACCAAAAAAAAAUAAAGAAAAACCUUAAGAAAAAAAAAAAAAAAAAAAUUAAGAUAGAAAGUAAAGAGUACAAAAAAGAAUUAAUAAAAAAUAAUGUAAAUGACCAAUUAGAUUGAAGUAACGAAAAAAAUCAAAGUAAAAAAAAAAAAAUGUAGUGAAAGAGUAAUAGAAUGAAAACAAGAAAGAAAAUAUUUUGUAAAAAAAAAAAGAACGAAAAUAAAAAAAAGAAAAAUAUACUAAAUAACAAAUAUAUAAUAAAUGAAAAAUUAAGAAAAUGCGUAGAAAGUAAAAAAAAAAAGAACAAAAAGAAAAAGAAAGUAAAUAAAGAAAUAAUAAAAACUAUACAAAGUUCAAUUUUUAAUUUAUGUUUUAAAACUUAAUUUGAAUUUGAAAAUUUAGAUGCAAAAUAUUUUGAUUUGAAUUUAUUGAUUUAAAUUUAGAAUUUUUAAUUUUUUAAUUGUUAAAAAAUUAAAAAUAUAGAUAUAUGAAGUAAAUAGUGAUAGAUAUAACAAUUCCAAACAAUGUUAUUAUAUAUAUAUAAGCCAAUUAAAUUCCAAAAGAAAAUAACAAAGAUAAUUAUUAUCUCUUAACAAAUUGUAUUAAAUAAAAUAUAAAUCUUAUACAAUCCAAAAUAAUAAAUAAAAAAAUAAUAAGUAAUAAUAAAAUAAUCCAAAUUGUAUUAAAUAAAAGAUAAUAUUAUACAAUAUAAUUUUGUUAAUUAGAUAAAUUACACGAUAAAUAAAAAUAAAUUUCAAGAUAAAAUACAAGAUCUUAAUUAAAUAUCUAAUUAGUAUAAAUGUACAUAACACCUUCCAUUCAUAAUGAAGUCAAAGUCUCAUUCAACAAUGUUUUAAUGCCCAUAACAUUAUAAAAUUUUUAUAAAAAAACAAAAAUAACAAAAAUAAAAAAUAAAAGGAAAAAAAAGAGAAAAUAUUAAAGCAAAAGGAAAAAGAUAAAAUAAGCACUAAAAAAGAGAAAAAAAAUUAAAAAGGAAACGAAAAAAUAAUGAGUCAAAAGAAAAAAUUAGAAAAGUAUAAAAACGAAUAAAAAAUUUCAAAAAUGAAGAAAAAAUGACAAAAUAGAAAAAAUUUUAGUUUAUUAAAUACAAACAAAUAAUAAAAAAUAUAACAAAUAAUAAGAUAAAAAGAUAUAAAAAAUUGAAGAUAAAAAAUGAAAAGGGAUGACAAAGUAGAAAAAAAUUUAAUUUAGAAAAUACAAGCAAAAAAAAUGUAAUACGAAAAAAAUAAAAAAAUUAAAAAUAGAAAAAUGAACAAAGGGAAAAAGUUAAUACAAAAUAAAAAUAAAAACAAAACAAGUGUAAAAAAAUGUAAACAAGAAACAAAAAGAAUUUUGUGAAAAAAAUUAGAAGAACAAGAAAAAAUAAAAACAAUUUAAAAGGAAAAAAAAGCUAAUGAACAAUUAUAAAAAUACAAUAGAAAAUAACCAACAUCGAUAAAUAAAAAAAAAAAAGAUAAAAAAAUAAAAAAAUCCAAAACAUUAUAAAAAUUUAUGAAAAUAUAAAUAAAGAAACAAAAAAUAAACCAAAAUAAAAAAUAAAAAUAAAAUAAGAAAAAAUAUUAAAGCAAAACAAAAAAGAUAAAUAAAGUAAAAAAAAUCAGUAUCAAUAAGAAAAGAAAAAAUAAACAAAAAUACAAUAAAUAAUAUAAAAAGUAAGAAAAUAAAAAACAAAUCAAAAAAAAAAAAACAAAUUGAAUAAAAAUUUCAAAAAUGAAAGGGAAUGACAAAAUAGAAAAAAAUAUUUUAAAAAUACAAAAAAUUGAAAACAUAUAAGAAAUAAUAAGAAAAUAUAUGAAAUCAAAGACAAAAAAUUAAAAAAAAGAAAAGUUAAUGCAAAAUAAAAAUGAAAACCAAAGAAGAAAAUGCAACAAAAAAAGUAUAAGAAUUUAAAAACACAAAUAAGAAAUAAAAAAAUUUGUGAAAAAAUUAAGAAAAGAAUAAAAAUGAAAAGACAAUAUUUGAAAUAAAAAAGAAAAAAAGAAUAUAAAAAAUUUUAAAACAAAUAAAAAAUGAAGUCAUAUGAAAAAAAUAAGCAAAAAGAAAGAAAAUUUUGAAGGAAAAAAGUUGUUGAAAAAUUAUAAAAUAAAACAAAAAAUAGCAAAAAAUAAGACAAAAAAUAAGAAAAUGAAAAAAUAAAAAAAUUUUGAACUUUAUAAAAAAAUUUUAAAAUAUAAAUAAAAGAAAAAAUAAAAAAUAAAUUAAUAGACAAUAUUAAUAUAAUAGAAAAAAACUAAACACUAAAUACUAAAAAAUAAAUACAACAAAAAAUAAAAGUAAGAAAAUAAAAAAUAUAUAAAAAGACAAAAUGAAUAAAAAUUUCAAAUAGAAAAUAGAAAAAACUUUUAGUUUAGAAUAAACAAAGAAAAACAAAAAAAUAUAACAAAGGUAGAAAAUAAGAAAUAAAAAAUCAAAGAAAAAAUAAAAUAAAAGUCAAUACAAAAUAUAAAUAAAAACAAAAGAAAGCGCACAAAAAAAGAAAAAUGAGAUUUUCAAAUUGUAAAGAAGAAAUAAAAAAAAGCAAGAAAAAAAUGAAAAAUACAAAUACAAAAAAUAUAAAAAAAAUGAAAGCAAAUGAGCAAAUAAGUUAAAAGAAAAAGAAAAAAAGAAUUAAUGAAAAAUUAUAAAAAUAACAUAGAUAAUAGCAAAAAAAAAAAAUGAGACAAAUCAAAAGAAGAAAAGAUUAAAAAAGAAAGUAAAUAUCAAUAACAUUAUAAAAUUUUUAUAAAAAAUAACAAUAAUUAACACUAAAAAAUAAAAAGAAAAAUAAAAUAAGAGUAUUAAAGCAAAAGGAAAAAGAUAAAAUAAGUAUUAAAAAAAGAGAAAAAUUAAAAAUAAACAAAAACACAAAACAAAAAAAUAAAAAAUAAAAAAGUAAAUGAAAAAAUGAGUAAAACAAAAUAAAAAAAAUACAAAAACUAAUAAAAAUGAAAAAAAUGACAAUAGAAAAAAUUUUAGUUUAUAAAAUACAAACAAAUAAUAAAAAAUAUAACAAAUAAUAAGAUAUAAAGAUAUAAAAAAUCAAAGAUAAAAAAAUUUUAAAAAAAAGUUAAUACAAAAUAAAAAAUAAAAACAAAAGAAGGAAGUGUGAAAAAAAAAACACAAAUUAAAAGGAAAUGCCAAGAAAAAAAAAGAAAAACCUUAAAAAAAAAUAAAAAAAGAUAAAAAGUACAAAAAUACAAAAAGUACAAAAAAAAAGAAAAAAUUAAUAAAAAAUAAUAUAAAUGACCAAUUAGAUUGAAGCAACAAAAAAAUCAAAGUAAAAAAGAAAAAUAUGUAGUGAAAGAAUAAUAUAAUGAAAACAAGAAAGAAAGUAUUUUGUAAAAAAAAAAGAAAAAUAUGCUGAAUAACAAAAUAAUAAUAAAUGAAAAAUUAAGAAAAUGUAUAAAAUGUAAAAAAACAAAAAGCUAAAAAAAGGAAAUAAAUAAAGAAAUUAAAAAUUUCUACAAAAUUCAAUCUUUAAUUUAUGUUUUAAAACUUAAUUUGAAUUUGAAAGUUUAGAUGCAAAAUAUUUUGAUUUGAAUUUAUUGAUUUAAAUUUAAAAUUUUUAAAUCGUUAAAAAUGUAAAAAUAUAGAUACAUGAAGUAAAUACUAAUAGAUAUAACAAUUCCAAACUAGUGUUAUCAUAUAUAAGCCAAUAAAAUUUCAAAAGAAAAUAACAAAGAUAAUUAUUAUCUCUUAACAAAUUGUAUUAAAUAAAAGAUAAAUAUUAUACAAUCCAAUAUAAUAAAUAAAAUAAUAAGCAAUAAACAAAAUAAUUCAAAUGGUAUUAAAUAUUAUACAAGAUAAUUUUGUUAAUUAGAUAAAUUACACAAUAAAUAAAAACAAUUUUCAAGAUAAAAUACAAGAUGUUAAUUAAAUAUCUAAUUAGUAUACGUACACAUAACACCUUCCAUUUCUAAUGAAGUUACAGUCUUAUCAACAAUAUUUUAAUAUCCAUAAAAUUAUAAAAUUUUUAUAAAAUAACAAAAAUAAAAAAUAAAAGGAAAAUAAAAUUAAAAAAUAUUAAGACAAAAGGAAAAAGAUAAAAUAAGUACUGAAAAAGGAAAAAAAAAUUAAAAUAACAAAAGCACAAAAUAGAAAAAAUAAGAAAGUAAAAAAAUGAAAAACUAACGAGUCAAAAAAAAUACAAAAAAUAAAAAAAUUUUCAAAAAUGGAAGAAAAAUGACAAAAUAGAAAAAUAUUUAGUUUAUAGAACAAAGAAAAAAAGUUCGAUAGAAAUUUUAAAACAAAGAAAAAAGCGCAAACAAAAAAAAUAUGUAAGAAAAAGAAAAAAAUAAAAACGAAAAAAAGUUAUGAAAAAUUAAAAAAUGCAAAUAGAAAAUAACCAACAAUUAUAAAUUAAAAAAGAAAAAAAAAUCCGAAAUAUUAUAAAAAUUUAUGAAAAUAUAAAUAAAAAAUAAAAAAUAAACCAAAAUAAAAAUAAAAUAAGAAAAAAUAUUAAAGCAAAAGAAAAAAGAUAAAUAGAGUACAAAAAAAAAGGAAAAAAUCAAUACCAAUAAGAAAAGAAAAAAUAAACAAAAAUAUAAUAAAAAAUAUAAAAAGUAAGAAAAUAAAAAAGAUAAAAAUUGAAUAAAAUUUGAAAAAUGAAAAGAAAUGACAAAAUGAAAAAAAAAUAGUUUAAAAAAUACAAAAGAAAUUGAAAAACAUAUAAGAAAUAAUAAGAAAACAAUAUAAAAAAUCAAAGAUAGAAAACUAAAAAAGAGAAAAGUUAAUGCAAAAUAAAAAUGAAAACCAAAGAAAAUGCAAAAAAAAAGUAUGAGAAUUUAAAAACACAAAUAAGAAAUAAAAAGAAAUUUGCAAAAAAAAUUAGAAAAGCAAGAAAAAGAAUAAAAAUAAAAACAAAAAAUUUGAAAUAAAAAAAAAUUAAAAAAUUUUAAAACAAGAAAAAUUAAAACAAAUAAAAAUAAAAGCUAUAAAAAGAUAAGAAAAAAGAAAAAAAAUUUAAGGAAAAGUUAUUGAAAAUUAUAAAUAGACAAAAAUAGCAAAAAAAAAGAACAAAAUAAAAUAAAAUAAAUUCAACAAAAUAAAAAUAAAAAUUUUGAAGUUUAUACAAAUUUUUAAAAUAAAUAAAAAUAAAAAAAAAAAUAAAUAAAGAAACAAUAUUAAUAUAAAAGAAGUAAAAUAAAUAAAAAUACUAAAAAAUAACAAUUAAAAAUAAACAAAAACAAAAAUAAAAAGUAAGAAAAUAAAAAAUAUAUAAAAAGACAAAAUAAAUAAAAAUUUCAAAUAUAAAAUAGAAAAAACUUUUAGUUUAGAAUAUACCAAAAAAUAUAUAAUAAAUAUAGAAAAAAAAAGAUAUAAAAAAAUCAAAGAUAAAAAAUAAAAUAAAAGUCAAUAGUAAAUAUAAAUAAAAAUGAAAGGAAAUGCAAAAAAAAAAAAAAAUCUGAGAUUUUAAAAUUGUAAAGAAGAAAUAAAAAAAAAGUGUGAACAAAAAGAUAUAAGAAAAAGCAAGAAAAAAAUAAAAAAUGAAAAAAAGUUAAUGAAAAUUUAUAAAAAUGCAACAGAUAAUAACCAACAAUGAUAAAAUAAAAAAAAAAAGAAAAAAAGAUAGAAAAAUAAUAAAUAAUAAAUAAAAUAAAUAAUAAGUAAUAAAUAAAAUAAUCCAAAUUGUAUUAAAUAAAAGAUAAAUAUUAUACAAUAUAAUUUUGUUAAUUAAAUAAAAUACACGAUAAAUAAAAACAAAUUUCAAAAUAAAAUACAAGAUCUUAAUUAGAUAUCUAAUUAAUAUACAUGCACAUAACACCUUCUAUUUUUAAUGAAGUCAAAGUCUCAUUCAACAAUGUUUAAUAAUAGGGUGAUCUGCAUUUAAGUUAAAACACAAGCAACAUGCCACAUAUAUAGAGAACAAUGCUAUUUUAGAAAUAAAGAAUCAAACUUGAACUUCAUGAUUUAAGACCAUAAUGAACUAAUCCUAAAGCAAAAAGAUUCAAGGCAAAGACUGCCUGCAAAAUAAACCUAAUCACAUCCAUUGUUCACAAAUCAAAGAUUAUAAAUGUUUUAACUCGAAACCCAAAAGAUACGAAAGUAGAAGGCCUUUAAGAACCUAAAGAGAAAUUAAAACCAAAGCAACAAAAACUUAACAAGAAAAGACUAUAAUGAAAGGCCAAAGAUAAGAGGUAGUUUGCAUCUCAACAUAAAUAUACAACAAUUAUAUACCAACGUUAAAAAACAACAGCCACCAACCACAUCAUAAGUCAGGGUGCUUCCAAUAAUAACAGUGUUCCUUAAGAAAAGAAAGUCUAUAUUAUAAUCAGAAACAUAGAAUUUUAGCAACUUUAAUCAAACUCUUCAUGAUCUGAAAUGUACUAGAACAAGUACAGUUAUCAUCGAAAGUUACCAUACAAUACAACAAAAAUUCUAUGCAAGAUCAUAGAUUUUCAAAGAAUCCAAUAAGAAAGAGGCAAUCUUCCAUCUCAGUGCUUAACUAGAUUUAAGUUUAUGAAAUUAAUCUUAAGAAAGUAAUCCCUCAUGCAACAAAAUAAAGUGAAAUCAGCAAAACAAGAAGAAUCAAAACACAACACAAGAAGAAAGAGGUACUCUUCAUUGUAAGCACUCAUCUUCAGUGCUAGGCUGGAUUAAGUUUUUGAAAUUAAACCUAAGAUUACAAUUUGUCAUGCAACAGAGUUGAACAAGCAAAAUAAAAAAAUAAAAAACUCAACCAUACAAAUUUGGAGUACACUGCUAUACAAUCUCUAAUUCCUCUCUCUAGCAAAUCGUGUUCGGAGUACACGAUCAACUAAUUUCCGUAUAGACUACUAAAUGCAACCACAAUUAAGAAAAGUUUACAAAACUACAAUCUGUACACAAAAGAUAAAACUAAAAUUUAAAUGGAAUGUUAAAGCAUAAGAGAUCAAAUAUUAAUUGAAGUUCAGAUUAAACUCCAGCAAGUCAAAAGCACUACAACAAAAAAUUAGACAUUAACCAGAAGCUAUGGGAAUGAAAUCUAGAAGCCAACUUGCAGAAUAAAACCAACAAACACACAGACAUAGAAAUUUUGAAACUUUAAUUCCUUCUAUCCUGCAAGGUAUGCUUGGAGCACAUAGCCCAUAUAGCUUCAAAGAGACAAACAGAUGACAACUAGGCACACUCAUGAAUGAAGAAACCACAACCCAGGAAUUUCUUUUGUAGUACAUUCUCCUAAUGCAUUCUCAAACAACUUCAUCAAUAGCAAUAAAUUGCACCGAUAUAUAAGCAUAUACGGAGUGAAGAGACAUAAUUUAACAGUUCUGUAAAAGAAUUUUCCUCAUUUCCCAAUCUGAGAAAGCACCCAAGAGACUGUUGACACAUAUAGGAGUAUAGAAUUACAGUUCUGCUCAUAGUUGCUUUGCUAUUUUUAAUUAUAUUUAUAUAUGAGGUGGUGCAUAAUGCUUCUUUUUACUAAAAGAGCUAAGCAAAGGGCUUGACAGGACAGAGAGAUAUAAAACAAUCCCAAGAAUGAAAAAAAAAAAAUAACCUCAUUUUAUGUAAAGAUACCAUGAUGUAAAUGUAACAUGCACAAGUAUAAGCAAAAGCUUAAAGAAAC
Molecule: long non-coding RNA, 79085 nt
Filed under: Durio zibethinus
Lineage: Eukaryota; Viridiplantae; Streptophyta; Magnoliopsida; Malvales; Malvaceae
Description: long non-coding RNA (DZIB_LNC002363)
Source: RNAcentral